This 47323-nucleotide long non-coding RNA is filed under the name Oryza sativa (Asian cultivated rice). Its description in RNAcentral is "long non-coding RNA (OSAT_LNC000322)". Lineage: Eukaryota; Viridiplantae; Streptophyta; Magnoliopsida; Poales; Poaceae. The record is from RNAcentral.
GCCUUCAUUGUAGAACCAAUGCGCAACACCAGCUGGCAGUGCAACGAUAUCUCCUUGUCUAAAUUGGUGGAUCUUUUGGUGCUCAUCCCUAAAUUUUUGGCUCUGGCUUUGGCCUUCAGGCAAGAAUUGUUGGAAUUGUUGUUGGUAGGUUGCUGGGCAGCCGGGGAAAGUUAAUCCCAUAGAACCUCUCCCUGAAAGUUAGAAAUGUCCAUGUCAGGUGGAUAUAACCUAAAACGACAUUAUUGUAACAUGGAGAAUCAUAAUUUGUACCCAUAUGAACAAUGUAUUCCGCUAUACAAACCUUGGAUGAUGUAGACCAUGCCAGGAGUAUUGCUGUAUCGAGGUACCAGAAGGCCUUGAGGCUCAAUGACACGUCGGAUGACAAAUGUACCUGUGCACUGGAAUUGUUCAUUCUUCUCAUCAAAGUACUCUGUAACCCCGGCUUCUGACCUCACUCUCCGAAGUGGUUCAAAUGCUUGUAGUCUAUCAAAUCUACACUCCCUAAAACCUCCUUGCCGAGGGUUGUGCCAUGGAUUUACGUUCGGACCAAAUAGCUGGGCCAUAGAGCCAUGGCAUAGGAGAAGAACACAAAAGUAGAUAGAUAACCGAGAGAAAGCUAUGGUCGCCAUAGCUAUUUGAGGAUGUUAUUGGAAACUUGGGCUGGUUGAUGUGAGUUCAAUGACAGGGAAGCCAACUUAUAUAGUGAAGAAAAGAAUCUUCAGAUAUGACGUAGGGAUAGAGUUUGUUGACAUGUAUAGAUAAUAUCUAGCCUAUAAUGCGAAAAGUAUAAUAGAAAAAAGGUAGCUUUGCAAUGUUGAGAUAUACACACUAUGACUCAUGGAUGACAUGUCUUGCGCUUUAGGGGUAAUACAAACAAUGCUUGUUGGUAAAUGUAUAUCCAAAGCCUUAAGAUGUUCCUUUGCCUUAUGGAUAAAUUUCCUUUUGUGCAAUAAAGUUUCUCUAGUAUGUUAUCAUUUUGUGCGGUAUGUCAUAGAUGAUAAGUUAGGCGCUCCUUAAAUUUGUUGGUUUGUUGUCAGUUUUGCGUGGCACACUAUGCUUGAUAAGUUAGCGGAACUUUUAAAAUAAGAAACUUGUAAGCUUGUUGUCAUUUUCUUUGACAUACUAUCCUCUCCCAUAUGUAAAGUAAACAAAUUGAUGAAAUAUAUGGAGGUUAGAUGAUUUUGCAUAUCCAACUAGUACUUCCAAGUUUAUACCAAAAAAUAGAAAAUGUUGGAUUUAAUUUUUAAAAAAGUAGAAGCAAUGGACUUAUGUAUCUUUUCUUUUUUUUAUCAUUAUAUUUUCUGGCGUGCAUUUAUUAGGCAGUUUAUUACUGUGACAUAAAUUUAUUUAACUCGCCGGUAAUAAAAUAUGCCAUAUGUUUGUUAGUCCUCACUGUCGACCAUAUCAUACAAGACAUUAAUCAAAUCGUCUUGUCUAAAAUGACCACAAUGUCCCUGCGUGGUGUGGACUAUGAUUUCUUUUCAUUCAUGGUUAGAACUACUGCCGGUCCAUGAAAGGUUAAACUAUAAAAUGCCAUCUGAAAAAAAAAAGGUAAACAGACAAGUACUCGCCCUCGCAAUUAAAUUGUUCAAUAAUAAUAGAAAUGGAAGGAUUUGUCGUGUGUGUGUACAUAUAUACAAGAAAAUAUCAGGAAAGCAUGUAUGUUAUUUUACACACCGAAAGAAUAAACGCACAACGAAACUUAUAUACAAUCAUAUGUUUGCUAGGCAACCAGAGAUGUUACUCCCAAAAGAAACGCUCCGGUAUCAAUUCAGGCUUCUCCUCUCACUUGAACUGCAGCUUGCUUGCAAAUGUCUGGCCAAACUUCCAUCCUGGUGGCACGACGUUGGUGAAGACGAGCGUUUGGUCAUCUGUGUUGGUGACCCUAAAGGAUAGACCUUGACCGGUGAGGUAGGCCAGUGAGUGCCAUUGGGCGCCCCAGUUACGUGCCAUCGGCAUCCAAUCCGCUGUGUUGGAACCCAUAACCUCCAUGGACUUGAUUGACCCUGCCGCCGCGACGUUGGUCACCAGUACUAGCUGGAAGUAGUCGUGACCGUUAAUGGUGAACCGCAGGCCACCCUUCUUCACGCAAGGAACCCUGUAGAAAUCAUCGCAAGAGUAGGAUAUUUUCAUAUGGAAGCAGCGGUCAGGAUAUGCACUGUUCUCUCCAUAAUGUCCAAAAUAAUUGGAGUAUUUGUAUUGGUACCUUUGAUAGAUGACCGGUAUGAUGCCUGCGCUGUAGACGCCGAUCUUCUCCCAGGCCGGCUGUGCCAUGUCAAAGUGCGGCCGUGGUGGGUUGCACCAGCCACCAUUAUCACUGGGAAGGUUCCAGUUGGGCGGGCAGAAAUUGGUGGCGGUGAUGGUAACGGUGACGCCGGGCUUGCACCACUGCGGCGCCCUCUUGCGGUCGCAGGCGAUCUUGUAGCACUGCCCGCACGACGCGCCGUCGUUGAACAGCGCCGUGCUCAGCGCCGCGUUCCGCGUGCCGUACCCCUGCGAGUACAGGUUGCCGUAUCCGCACGCCCCGCCCAUGGUGCCCGACGCGUCCGCGCCGCCGUAGAACGUCGCGUGCGCCUUCUGCCACUGGGUCGGCGCAGCCACCGGGUUUGUGGGCGUCGUCGUCGCUGUGUUGGCCGCGGCCGUCGAUGCACUGGCGACUGCGAGCAGCACCAACACGAACGCUCGAGCUGGGGCCAUGUCUGUCGUCAUGAUCGGAUAACUCUGUAACUAGGCCCUUGAGACUUGAUGACCGAGUUAAUUAUCUGGAGCUAUCUAUCUCUGAAAGCAACACUGCUCUGUUGCUUUGUGUUGAUCUUCUAUGUGAUGUCUGUUUGCUUGGUGAUCUCCUGAUGAUUGGAUGGGUAUAUAUAGCCAUCGCUCGGUCAUUGUUGGAUUGCUGCAUUAGUGGCUAAUGAAAUCCCAAUAAUGAAGUAGUGUGAACUCUGGAAAGCCACGGGACGAAGCUAGCGCGCGGCGACGCGCAUGUGCAUGCAUCGCCGGCCGGCGCAGCCGCAGUACUACUAUAACUUGCUCGCCAAUUAAUCCGAAGAAAUUUUCGGUUUUUCCCUGAUUGGCGCAGAAUGACGCAAAACACAAGCGCGGCGACGUCCAGGCUCCCGCAAUCGCAAGCAAGCGCAUGAAGGCAACGUUCAACGGCGGCGCCAUGAAGAAUGGGGUGGCGUGUGUUGUGUGUGGCCGGCGAUCGAGUGAGGCAUCUCUGAAGUCUGAACUGAAGCAUCUCGAGUGUUUUGGACUCGUUUCUUUUCCUGGUGACGUUAUGAGGUGUUUUUUUUUCCGGGGAGACGUUUUGAUGAGGUGUUGAUCAGAAUUCAUCACCUUGUUAGAAUGUCAACAAGAACAAUUGACGGAAGAAACAAAUAAUCGUUUUAAAAGUUGACAAAAUCAUCGAGGGAAAAAACGUUUUCAAUUAGACAAAACAAUUGACGAAAUUCCGUUGUCAAGUAAACAAAACAAUCCACGGAAAAGACAAUCUAUCUAUGAUAUACUGAAAAUCUAUUAAAAUUCCUACAAACACACUAAAACCGUCACGUGUAUUCCUAGUUUCGUACAAAUACUUCUAAACUGUCACAUGACACUUUAACAAACCAGUGGACCUGAUAUUUUUAUCUAUUAGAAUUUUUUUUUAAAAAAAACCAAAACAAGUAGUCACGUAUUUGAUGGGGCCCACCCUUCCACCGGGCGUACUCACGUACGUGCUUCCUCCCUCCCCCUCCUAUCCAAUCUCCUUUUUUAAAUUAUUAACAUUUUUGAACAUUAACAAAUCUUAGAUAACCACAAUUUUCCUAUAGUUAUUUGUGUUCUUUAACAAUUAAAAAAAUUAAAAAAAUUAAGGUGUUCUUUAACCUAUAAGAAAUAUUUAAUUUUUAUCAUAUCCAAAACUUUACAUAUCACUUUAAACUGUUAUGUAAAAUAGGGAAAAUUUGAUAAUGCUGAUUAUAUGAUCAAUUCGCCAAAUAUGCAUAAAUAAAUUAAGUUAGAUCUAUUAUCUCUAUUAUUAAAAAAUUGAAUAUGUUUUUGCCGGUACUUUGGUACGUUAUCCGUGCACGAGUCGGUUUUUAAGUUUGUUCUUUUUGGAAAUACGGAUCCAUAUUUGAGUCGGUUUUUAAGUUCGUUUACUUUUGUAAAUAUAGAACAAAUCGUAUAAUAAAUCUCUUUAAAAAAACUCACGUGCUAACUCGAACUCCUAAUUACAACUCAAUAUAUAGGGCUUUUCUUACGUAUCACUUCUAUGUCCACUUUUCUUAUGUAUCAACUAGUUGGGUGGCCCGCGCAAUUGCGCGGCUAGCACCUAAAAAAAAUCAUAUAUUUUUCAGUAUGAUUUUACUUAAAAUUUAUUAAAUAGCUAUUACGUUGUCUUAAGACUUUGAAAAGCCAAAUCUUAUCAUCCCUGUAUUUCUAAUUAUAUAGUUUUUUAAAAGUCACACCAGCUACUACCCCUUACUUCUGUCAUAUUUCUUUUAUUUGCUUGCUUGAUCUACCACUAUUUCUAUUCAUUCUCCUUAAAACCUUUAAAAAUCAGAUCUUAUAGUUUUUAUAAUUUCUAGAAGUCCCAUCAAACGCUGUCAUUAUACUCCUCUACAGGUCAUCAACUGUCUUUUCUCUAUAUUGUCAUUGGGAUUUUACAAAUCGAACAUAAUUAUCGUUCGGGUUCAUUUUUUACUUUCUAAAGUCCCGCUAAACCGUCAGCGGCUUUGCCAUUGUUUUCCUUUAUGGCACGCCCGCUGCCUCACUUCUUUAUCGUCAUUGAGAUUUUAAAAUCGAAUAUGAUUAUCAUUAUGUUUUUUUUACUUUUAGAAGUUCCAAACCUUUAAAAAUUAGACCUCGUAGUUUUUAGAGUUUAUAGUCUUGUUGGUUUCAUUUUUUAUAAUUUUUAGAAGUCCCGUUAAACGAUGUCACUAUACUCCUCUAUGGCCCAUCUGCCGCCUACUCUCUAUUGUCAUUGGGAUUCUAAAAAUCGAACAUAACUAUCGUUAGAAUUUAUUUUUUAUUUUCUAGAAGUCCCGCCAACCGUCGGUGGCUCUCCUAUAUAUCCCGCCCGCUGCUUCUCCUUUUUAUUAUCAUUGAGAUUUUAAAAAUCGAAUAUGAUUAGCAUUGGUUUUUUUUUUUACUUUCUAGAAGUCCCGGCAACCGCCUUGAUCGAUUGCUUCACGGCCUACCCGUCGUCCUUCAUUUCAAUCGUUAUUAGGAUUCUAUUUGGUGUUUUAUUAACAGUUAUUGCAUGUCGUAUCAACCACCACCACUCUACUCCUUUAUAGGCGUGUUACUUAAUUAAUCUCGUCAUGUGUUUUAGAUGGUAUUUUCUUUCAAUAGUCUUGAUUUUUUAUCACCAAUUUUAGUUAUUUAUAAAUGGUAUUCCUAGUAUUUUUCUUUUUUUAAUUUCAGAAUUUAUUUUAUUUUUCGUAUUGUGUUCUUUUGAUAUUUUUAUUUUUUAUUUUCAAUUUUAGUUGCUUCCAAAUUGUAUUCCUACUUUAACUCUCUUUUUAAUUCGCCUAAUUUCGGAUUUUAUUUUAUUUUUUAUCUCGAAUUUUAAUUAAUCUACUAUUAGGUUGUUUUAUGUACUCUUAUUUGCAGCGCUGCUUAUAUUUAAUUUCGAAUUUAAGUUAAUUUUAAAUUGCAUUCCGAACUCUUCUUUUGUUUUUUUCUAAUUUUGAUUUUUUUUAAUUUUUUAUUCCGAAUUUUAAUUAAUCUUGUAUUGGAUUCUUAUAUAUACUCUUAUUUUAAUAUUUCUUAUUUUUAAUUCCGAAUUUCAGUUAUUUUUAAAUUGUAUUCCUACUCAAACUCCCCUUUUUUCUUUUUAUAAUUUCUAAAUUUAUUUUUUAUUCCUAAUUUUAAUUAAUCACGUAUUGGGUUCUUAUAUGGACUCCUCUUUCAAUAUUGCAUAUUUUUAAUUCCGAAUUUCAGCUAUUUUUGAUUUUAUUUCUAUUUGGACUCUUCUUUUUUUUUCUCCGAUUAAUGUGGGAAUUUCUAGCCUCUACAGCAAACGUGGUUAUGUAUUUUUGGCUUGGUUAUAUAUUUAUUGGCAUGAAAAUACUGAUACAAUUCGGAAACGGCAGAGUUUGAUUAGGAUUGUUUUGUCUUUCAAUGUUUCUAAAAGUGGUGUUAACACGCGUAUUCCCAAAAUAUUGUCCGUUUCCAAUAUGAUUAUGUUUUUCUUUUCUUUUGUUUUUUUUUUGUUUUUGACCGAUUGUACAUUACGUUUCCAGUAGAUUAGGUUUUCCCUUUUUUGUUUGUUUGUUUCUUUUUUUUGACAGAUUGUCCGAUUCCGUUUCCAGUAGUAUGAUUAGGUUUUCCUUUUCUUUUUUGUUUUUGACUGAUUGUCCGAUUCGAGUUUCUUCAUACGCCUUAUUUCUUUCUUUCUUCAGUUUUUAACUAAUCCUAAUCUAGUUCUAUUUUUUUUCUUAUUUUUUAGAUUAAUGUGAGAAUUUCUAGGCCAUGAGAGCGAACGUAGAGGCUUCUUUUUCUAUUAUUUUAAAGAUAUAACUAGCAUGGUGGCCCGCGCAGAUUGUGCGGCUAGCAUCAUUAUAUUUUCUCUCAUAUUAUAUCAUAUAUGUUUUCUCAUUAUAUUAUUCAAAUAUAUUAAAAUGACAACAUAAUUUUAAAUUUUGCAAUAACUUUACAAAACUACUAAUGUGUAAUAUUCAUAUUGUAUUUUAUAUACGUGUUAGUUAUUAAUUAUUUUUAAUAUCAAAUCCUAUAUGGACUCUAGUCUCGUCUUUUAAUAUAUUUUUUAGUUCCGAAUUUUCUGUAAAUUGUAUUUCUAUAUAGACUCUAUACUCUUGUUUCAAUAUUAUUCUAUUUAUUUUUAUUUCUAAAUUUUAAUUAUUUCUAAUUGUAUUUCUAUGUGGACUCUAAACUCAUCUUUCAAUAUUCUUUAAUUUUUAAUUUCGAAUUUCAGUUAUCUCUAAAUUGUAUUCCUAUAUUGACUUUAAACUCUUCUUCCCAUGUUUUUCUAAAUUUCGAAUUUUAGUUAUUUGUAAAUUGUAUUUUUAUACGGACUCUAAACUCUACUUUUAAUUUUAUUAUGUUUAUUCCAAAUUUUAGUUAGUUUUAAAUUCCUAUAGGGACUCUAUACUCUACUUCAAAUAUUGCUUAUUUUUUAAUUCCAAAUUUCUAUUUUUUUCUUAAUUGUAUUUCACUCUACUUCUAAUAUUCCUUAUUUUUAAUUCCAAAUUUCCAUUAUUUUCCUAGCUAAUUGUAUUUCUAUAUGGACUCUAUACUCUACUUCUAAUAUUGCUUAUUUUUAAUUCCGAAUUUCAGUUAUUUCCUAAUUGUAUUUCUAUAUGGACUCUAUACUCUACUUUUAAUAUUCCUUAUUUUUAAUUCUAAAUUUCAGUUAUUUUCUAAUUGUAUUUCUAUAUGGACUCUAGUCUCCUCUUCUAAUAUUCCUUAUUUUUUAAUUCUGAAUUUCAGUUAUUUCCUAAUUGUAUUUCUAUGUGGACUCUAGUCUCCUCUUCUAAUAUUCCUUAAAUUGUAUUUCUAUAUGGACUCUGCUUUUUCUUUUUCUCCUAUUAAUGUGAGAAUUUCUAGGCCAUGAGAGCAAACGUGGAGGCUCCUUUUUCUAUUCUUUUAAUAAUAUAAUAGUGUCGGUGACAUGGGACCGGGAGUAUCAUGACUUAGAGACUUGAGGCAGACACGAUCACCCACGUGGCCUAACCCCCUCGGGGGGGGGGGGGGGGGUUGGGCCCGAGGGUGAUACGGCCGCCCUUCUCUUUGUCUCCCCGAGGGGUCGGACCGCUCCUGUCUCGGCCCCGAGGGCCGAUGCGCCCCGAUUCCUUGUGGGUUUUGCGCCGCGUAUAUGGGGUAGGUGAGCAUAGCGGGGCUCACCUAACCACAUUUAUUGCGGUUUGGACGAGCGCGUCACGCCGCAUGUAACGCAGUCACAGACCGAUCAGAUCGUGGGUUAGGUGGCGACAGGCGGUCUGACGCACGCCUCGCCCCAUCCCGUCAGGAUGAGAGCCUCCAAGCACUCGUCCCUAGCCGGAGCCGGCGUGUUAGCUCCUGGAGAUGGCACGUUGGUUCCGGUCAGAUAUAUGCCAGGCUUCAUCCUAACCAUUACAGGCAAGAUAUUGUAUGAAGAAGGGCGAACAUGCAGAUUGUUAAACUGACACGUGGUGGACAAGAAUGACCGAUUUGUGACCGGUCUGACAAUGGUCAUGUCGUCAGCAGACAGCCAUGUUCCCACGUCGCGCCUGCUUCCGGCGGAAGUGGAGGUAGGUAUGGGCCGUCCCAUGAGAAGGUCAUUCGGACGGCAGCCAUACAAAUCUCCGUCCAUUAAUGAAGAGAAGUGAAGUUGGAGGGAAGAGAGGAUGAGUCCCCACACAAAAGAAAGAAAGGGAGAGAUGGUGCAUGUGGUAUCCCCUUGAGAUAUAAAAGGAGGACCUUGCCCACUUAGAAGGAAAAAAACGAUCCCAGAACGAUCGGGGGCUGGCUCGCACUUUGUAGCUUCUUCAUACACAGAUCCACCAAAACACAGGAGUAGGGUAUUACGCUUCUCAGCGGCCCGAACCUAUAUACAUCGCCCGUGUCUUGUGUGUUUCCACUCUCGCGAACUUUCCACAGGCUAGGAGCUUAGAACCUCACCCAGGGCCCCCGGCCGAACCGGCAAAGGGAGGCCUGCGCGGUCUCCCGGUGAGGAGCCCCAAGCUCCGUCAAAUAGAUAGAUUAUAUAUGUCACAUUCAAACCUAUGUAUCAUUUCUACUUAUAAUUAAACUGCUAUUCACUAAUCAUUGAGUCAGGAAUAUUGAUGAGAUGAUUGUUUAUUAAAUUGACUAUUCGAGAUUCGGUAAAUCUAUGCUGUCAAGUGGUAAAGAAGAAAGUUAACUUGCAAUAUAGAUUAAACACAAACAACAGAAUAGGUCAAUCUCAUGAAAUAAAAUAAAGCAGCAUCGUAACUUUUUUAAAUUGAAAAAACAUGUAUAUGACAAUAUGAAAAAAAUUGAAAAAAAUCCAUAACAUACACCCUACAUAUAAUCAAAGAUAAUCACGGCUAAUCUCAUUGGAAUAUAACCUAUGUAUUUAUUGAAUCAUUAAAGCAUAUAAUCAAUUGGAGAAAUUAUUAGAUUUAAAAUUCAUCCAAGUGUGUUAACAAAUUGAAAAAAAAUAUUUGAGUUAUUUCACCUGUAGUAGCAAGAUAUCGUAGGGUGCUCAACAUUGUUGCUAACGAGGAAGGAAAAUUACUAUGAUACCCGCUUAUUAAGUAAGUGUUAAUUUGAUUCGUGCCAUUGAAAAAUGCCUAUUCAGAUAAAUAUCAUUACAAUUUGUCUAUUCAUAGCUGUCCACUCAAAUUUUACAAAAUUAGAGUGCCAUCGUCGUUACGUUUUCUAUCUUCCUCCUCAUCUACACGUGGGACCCACCUGUCAGAUUCAUCAUCUUUCUUUCACUCUCGCUUAUCUUCUUCCUUCCCCAUCGAUCUCUCUGUCACGGUGAGGAGCGACCAACGUGGGCAAGACGGGAGGGGGUCAGUCACGGCGUACAUUAAAUGAACGGUGGUUGGAUAGAACAAUUGUACUUUAGAUUCACUUAUAUUAUGGGAAAAAAUUGAAUCUAUGGUAGACAAGAAAAAAUGUUAUUUAAUGUAAAAAAUAUGCUAAAUAUUAACAAAAGAAAGAUACAUAGUGCAAAUGUAUAUAGUAUAAUUUAUAGAAACCAACUCAAUUGUUGUGACACCAUAUACUUUCUCAUAAAUUCAAAACUAUACGGAUUGAUGUAAUUUUAGUUUAGAAUUUAUAUGUUGCAUGGGUAACUACAAGAAAAUCAUAACUACUUUCUCUGUUUCAUAAUGUAAGUCAUUCUAGCAUUUUCCACAUUCAUAUGGAUGUUAAUGAAUCUAGAUAAAUAUAUAUGUCUAGAUUCAUUAACAUCAAUAUAAAUGUGGGAAAUACUAGAAUAACUUCCAUUGUGAAACGGAGGGAGUGACAUUCAAAGUAAUCCCUAGCAAAUUAGAAUAUAGUCAAAAAGUAUUUCAAUAAUAAUCACCCACAAAUAAACGUUGGUAAUAAAAUUUUAAACACAUUAAAUAAGAUGCCCACGCAUGUGUGUGUGCUACCUUUCUAGUUUAAAGGAAAUCGUCGUAGCGCCAAAAAAGACAAUUCAAAAGAAAUCGUCGUAGCACCAAAAAUGAAUUAAAGGAAAUCGCUCCAAAAAUAAACUAAAGGAAAUCAUGACAAAAGAAUCGACCCAAUUUAAAAGAAAUCAUCGUAGAGCCAAUAAUGAACUAAAGGAAAUCGCGCCAAAAAAUGAAUUGAAGAAAUCGUGACAAAACAAUCGACCCGAAAAUUCGACCCAAUUUAAAAGAUAUUGUCGUAACGCCAAAAAAUGAAUUAAAGUAAAUCGUGACAAAACAAUCGACCAAAAAAGUCGUAGCGCCAAAAAUUGAAUUAAUGGAAAUCUUGACAAAACAAUCGACCCAAAAAUUCAACCGAAUUUAAAAGAAAUCGUUGUAGCGCCAAAAAUGAAUUAAACAAAAUCGUCGUAGCGCCAAAAAAUGAAUUAAAGGAAAUCGCGCCAAAAAAUCAAUUUAAAAGAAAUCGUCGUAGCGCCAAAAAUGAAUUAAAUGAAACUGCGCCAAAAAAUGAAUUAAAUGAAAUUGAGCCAAAAAAAAGGAUUAAAUGAAAUUGCGUAGCGCCAAAAAUUAUGGAAAAAAUUAUCAGAGCCAGGUUUCGAUCCUGGGACCUGUGGGUUAUGGGCCCACCACGCUUCCGCUGCGCCACUCUGAUUAGAAAACUCGUAACAAUUUGGUAUUGCUUUGUCCAAUAUAUUUUGUGUAUUCAGCCUUCAAUGUUUUCUAAAUCCCUUUUUUGCUAGUUGUAUGGGGGUACCGACUAAAAUUUCGGUAAUUUUGAUCCUAAAUUAUUUGAAUAUUUUAACACAAUGGCUAAAUUCAUAAAAAAUGAAAAAUAAAAAAAAGUUCGGGUUAAAUAAUUUCGUACUUGGGAAUGGGGGGUGGGCUGAUAGACCCGAAAUUUUGCAAGAGUAUAGAAUAUAGAACGAGAUUAAUUACAACGGAAUGACUGUACGUACGACUGUGUCUGUAUGACCUGCAUACGACUGCACAUAACAGAUUUUAACUUGUUUUGAUUGGGCCCACGUGAAUAUUUAUGAACUCAUGUGAUUGGUUGGUUUGGUGCAGUCGUAUGAGAGUCGUAUGGCUCAGUCGGAUGUAUAGUACUACUCUAAUUACAAUGCUUUGUACCAUUGAACAUUUGAUGUGGAUAAAAUAAGUCACAUAAUUAUUAUUUUACAAGGGUUCAUGUGCCAUUUCUAUUAAUGAAAAACAAGAUUAAGGUGUAAUUGCUCACUAUGAAUGCGUCAGAAAUCGUCCCCACCAGCAAUUCCGUCUGAAAAUACAGAGAUCAAACGAAAUGGGUGUAUACAUGGGUCAUCUUGACCGCUCAUCCAAAUCAUGCACAUGAUGUUGCCAAACAUGAAUACUCCUUGAAACCACGCGAUUCAUCUGUUGAAUAAAAGGGACAGGUCCGAUUUAAUUCAAUUAAAUUCCCUAGGCCUAUAAUUAAUGUUAGUGAUAAUAAUACCAUCUUAAAAAUUUUAGUGGAGAGAUCUCAUCUUAAAUAGAGAGACAAUUAUGACUCUCUAUUGACCGGUUGAGAAGGUGGGCGGACUACCACGUGCGCGCGCACGCGUUGGCUGGGCCGAGGCCGUGGCUUCCGUCGUCCCUAGCUUUGAUCUCUUACGUGCAAAAGAGAUUGGGACGAGUAGAGCCUCCGAAACUCUGUCCGUCUGAGUUCCUGCACGGGUAGGCGGGCAAUAAAGUUUUUGCGGAGCGUUCUUCCGUCUGAGUUCCUGGGUCUGAGUUCCUGGUUCCUAUUCAUCAACGCCAACAUGUCGACAGACGACAACGCCAACGGUGCAGCUGGAGGAGAUGUCAGCAAUGGAGGAGGCGGUGCAGGGAACGGCUCCAUCAACGGAGGCAACUAUGCCUCACACUCCAGCGAAGGACCAUUUUUAGAGUAUGUCUCUAUUCCCAACACGCUAAUUUCUGAUAUACUACUAUUAAGCGUAAUGUUUUUAUAACAAUGCCAUGUGAUGAAUGUUUAUGCUUAUUCUAUAUUAAGCAUGAUUUGUAUGUUGCUCUUGAUUAGUAUUCACACUAGUUUAUUCCCUAAAAAUGUCAUGCUUAUUGUCUUAAUGAUUUGGAUUAAAAUAUGCCAAAUUGCGACCAUAUUUCCAACAUCAUCUUUGCCUCAGAGUCACAUGGCUGGUAUGCUUCCUUGUGUGAACAAUUCUUGUGACAAAUCUGUUGAACGUGGACACACAGCAGGCGCCUCACUUGUUACAAUGCAUAGUUGUGCUAGCAAUCGUUUUAGCUGCUGUGUUAUGCUAGGAGAGCUCAUCUGCCAUUCCACCCCAUCUUUUAGUUGUGCUAAGGCUUGGUGGCCUAGUAAAUCCGACGUUUCCCUCUACUGAUUAUAGGCCCGCGUUGCAACUGUUUUUCUUAUUUAGUUUAGUGAAAUUAUUCAGAGAGGUGACCUGUUCGGUUUUCUACACCAUGGUCGGUUUUAUGAGAAAUCUAUUUUCAGGAUGAACAGUUUUUACGGAAAGGAAGAAUUUUUUACGUGAAAGUGGGGGAGAGAGGGAUAGGAGGAUGACUCCCUCUCUUAUAAGAUAUUUACAAUUUUAUAUAACUUUAGUUGAAGUUGAUACAAGUGUAAUAAAAAUUAAUCUGAAUAUGUUUUGAUUCAAUGAAGAGCAUAAACAUCUUUGUAUAUACAAGUACCCACCCAUACAUAUGGGAUAAAGACAUAAAUAUAUACACCAAUAAAUCAGGUAUAAACAAUAAAAAAUAAAAAAUAAAAAAAAUCAUAUGUGCAAUAGUGCACAGAAGCACAAUUCAAUAGUCCUUACAACGUGUAUAUAUACACUGUGCAAAUGUCCAUCAUAAAUAAUCAGUCAGGCAGUAGAAACCCAAUCAAUUCAGGAUGAUCACUUGAACUGCAGUUUGCUUGCAAAUGUUUGCCCGAACUUCCAUCCUGACGGCACAAUGUUUCUGAAGACAAGCGUCUGGCCGUCCAUGUUGGUCACCCUAAAGGAAAGCAUCUGUCCAGUGAGAUACGAUAACGAGUGCCAAUUUGCACCCCAGUUUCUCACCAUUGGCAGCCAGUCGGUUGAGUUGGAGCCCAUCACAUCCAUCGACUUGAUCAAGCCGGUGGUUGCAACGUUGGUCACAAGAACGAGAUUGAAGUAGUCAUGCCCGUUGAUGGUGAACCGCACACCACCCUUCUUUACACAUGGAACCCUGAAAAACAUCACAAAAUACAUGUUACAAAUAUGUCUUAUAUAUUGUCAUAUAGGUGUGCAAUAUCAAAAACAAAUACGAUUUGUGUUUGUCCGGUGUAGGUUAAUUAUGUACCUUUGGUAGAUGACGGGGAUGAUGCCGGCACGGUAAAUACCGAUCUUCUCCCAGGCCGGCUGCGCCAUAUCGAAGUGCGGCCGUGGAGGGUUGCACCAGCCGCCGUUGUCGCUGGGGAGGUCCCAGUUGGGCGGGCAGAAGUUGGUGGCGGUGAUGGUGACCGUGACGCCGGGCCUGCACCACUGCGGUGCCCUCUUGCGGUCGCAGGCGAUCUUGUAGCACUGCCCGCACGACGCGCCGUCGUUGAACAGCGCCGUGCUCAGCGCCGCGUUCCGCGUCCCAUACCCCUGCGAGUAAAGGUCGCCGUAGCCGCACGCGCCUCCCAUGGUGCCCGACGCGUCCGCGCCGCCGUAGAACGUCGCGUGCGCCUUCAGCCACACGGGCGGAGCCGCGUCGUCGGUCGAUGACGACGGAGCCAUCGCUGUCGUCGUCGUCGCCGUCGCAUUGGCCGAGUCGUCGGCCGCCGUCAGCAGAACGAAGCCGACCGUGACUGCGAGAAACAGCAACGCGAAAGGUCGAGCUGGAGCCAUUUCUGUCGUCGUGGUCAGUAGGCGUUUGCUGAAAGUUGUAGCUCGCUAGCUCUGAAAUUAAGCUGCAGCUGCAAAGCAGAGAUGCUGUAGACUGUGGUGUGCGUGCGAUUUAGCUGUGAAUUUGGUUCUGAUGAUUGUGAGAUGAUUCGUGGGAUGAUUGGUCUAGAUAUAUAUAGCCUGUUCGGAUUAAUUCUACAAGGAUCGCCAUGCGUGCAUGUGCCCGUGCAGCCGCAGCAUGGCUUAUGGGUUAAUCGGAAGAUUUGUAAAUGAAGUUACGAACACGCAGACACGUAUUGUCCAUUAUCUUAGAAAAAAGACACGUAUUGUCCAAACUACUGAUCUGCUUGGCAUAAAAUUGAUUUAAUUUCAGAAGAUACCUCUCUUGGUUUGCUUUACUUCUAAUGGUGAAAUGGACGGCUCAAUUAUUAAUUUGCAGAAAGUAUUCAAUGUUCGGGGUACUCCCUUGUCUAAGAAACGAUGUCAUCUGUUCCUUGAAACUUACAGGUGAUACUGCACCUGGCCAGCAACAUCAAUCGCGCUCGACCAACGGCGUGUAGUGGUUAAUUGGAUGGAAACUAAUUUUUAGAGUUGACUCAUCAUUAAGGCAGAUAUGAAGAGUAGCUAAAUUAAGACGAAUAUUCCUGGUUAAUCAAACGAUCUUGGACAUCACAAUAUUGCACAGCCAUGGCCGUGCCCGUAGGUGCCACUCUUUUGCUUAGACACCGAUUAGAGUAGUACUCUAUCCAUUUCAGUUUAUAAGACUUUGACUGGUCAAAGUCAAACUGUUUCAAAUUUAAUAAAAUUUAUAGACAAAUAUAAUAAUAUUUAUAAUAUUAAAUUAGUUUCAUCAAAUCAAUAAUUGAAUAUAUUUUCAUAAUAUUUUUUCUUGGGUUGAAAAUGUUACUACUUUUUCUAUAAACUUGAUCAAAUUUAUCAAAGUCAAAAUGUUAACCUGAAACGGAGGGAAUAGUAUAAAAGGACAUGUUUACUGACCCUGUGUCAAGCACUCUUGUUACAGAAUUUCGGUAAAGAGAAUAAUAUAGUGUGCCUUCCUCCAAAUUUUAUUUUACGGAUUUUAUGUCCAAAGUUAGCAAUUCCGUUACAUAUAGUCUGUAACGCUCCGCUUUUCGUGAGGCGUUAAAAACUAAUUCGGCAAAAUCCUAAUUGCGAAAAUUUUCGUUCUUUGUGUGCGAGUCUAAGUUGUGCCAAUAUCUCAAUUCAAAUCCCGUUGUUCCCUCUCAUCGAAAUCGAAAUCCUCCACCUCAAAUUUCCAAUCCCGAUUCAAGUCACCGAGAUCAAAUCCCGAAAUUCAAUUCCUCUCUUUGAAUUCUCGCCAAAUACUUGUACCGACUCGAAAGAUAUCCAAAUUCCAUUCCCAAUCCAAAUUCUCUCCAACUCAAAUUCUAAGCAAAAGUCUAAUUUGCAUCCCUCGGGUUCGUGGGCCGAAUCCCCUCCCUAGGCCCAUCUCUCCCCUCUGCCCUUCUCUCUCACGUGCGCUGCACGUGGUCACUCAGCAGAGCUGAGGGAGGAAGAGAGCUCCCGCCUCUCUGCCUUUUCUCCCCCUCUCCGUUCACUCUCUCUCUCCCCGGCGCCGAUUCCCGCCGACGCCGCUCAAAUCCGCACCGCCUUCGCUCGUUCCUGCGCGCUCGCGCGUGGCUGACCGCCCGGUUGCCGCCGCGUCAGCCCUGACGCCGCCUGUCCCCGCGCCUGCGCCGCGCAGCCGCCCGGCCCCGCUCGCCUUUAGCCGUCAUCGCCGCUGUCAUCGCUCGGCCCCGAUGCCCCCAUGCCGCAUCCUUCCAAAACCAAGAGACAGAGCUCGUGCUCCUCUCCCUCGUUCUCUCUCCCUCCUUCCUCCUUCCUCCCAAAGUGGCAAGGGAGCCAAGCUCUUUUCCCUCCCCUUUUCGCCUUUUUCCCCGACCACAACCGCUGUCACCACCUGCCGCUCCUUGACCGCAAGCGCCGCGCCAGCCGAGCAAGCUUGACCACCAAUGUCGGUUUCCCUCCUCCAAACCGACCUCUCCUCCUCGCCUAUAAAGCCCGCGCCCUCCCCUCUCGUUUCGUCUUCACCUCGCUCGAACCACCCGCGCCAUUGUUGCCAGCCGCCAGCUGCUCGCCCCCGCGACUGCCUCCUCGCUGCCGCGCUGUGUCAAUGGCCGCGUGAGCCUCGGCGUCGGCCUCGUCAAGCUCGGUGCCGCACUGCCGUGGCCAAGAGCGUGUGCAUGCACACAUCAUCCUUUCGGCCUCGUUGCCUCCCUCCUUUGCCCGGCCGCGCCCUCUCGGUGCCGCGCCUCCCCGCCGUCGCGACCGCCUCGUCACGACUCCCUCUGCGUCGCCAACGCCGCUCCUCCCUCCCCGGUGAGCUCCCCACCGUAUUCCUCCUCCUGCCGCACAAUGCGCCGCGUGCCUCGCCGUUGCUCUGUUUCAGCCGCCGCGCGCAGUCGCGCGCCGUCGUCGGGCCCCAGCUCAUCGACCACCCUCACCAACACCGUCCUUGAGCUCCCUAGGGCCUCCCCAAACCGUUCCCUAGCAAUGCCGUCACCUGGCAUGGCUUCGCCACCAUUACCGUCCGCUCCCGUAGGCCGCCGUCGACGCUAGCCCUCCUCGAUGCUCCUCCACCCUAUCCGGCGCCGGAAACGGAAUCCCCGACUCCCAGAGAUACUCCCACCACCUUGAAUUUAAUCCUUGUCGCCCCUCCGCCGUUUCCCCUUUUUCUCGCCGCCAGCGUGCGUCGCCGCAAUCCGCCGCCUCCGGCCUCUUUCCGGCGAAUCCAAGCCGUCGGCUCUCUUCCUCUCGUCCCUUCCCUCCUUCCCGGUGUGCUCCCUUUUUCCACUGAGGUCGUGCCUUGCUCCGGUGAACUCGGCCGCCGUCCGCCGUUCAUUCCCGGCCUCCCCUUCUUCCUCCUCCCGUUGGCUCGCGUGGCAGCCACGUCGGAGCCACGUCGGCUGCGACUGGGUCAGCCGCCUCCUCCCUUCCCCACCUUCGCGCGCACGGUCCACGGUGCGCCAACCGGCUGCAUGUGGGCCCGCUGCCAUCCGAUCCACCCGGCGCACCGCCCGCACACCGCACCCACCAAACCCUAGCACCGCACCCGCGUGCGCUCUCCCCACCAUGAACCUUGCCGCCAACAUGUGGGCCCCACCCGGGACCCCGCGAGGUGCACCCGGUCCACCGGACCGCUCCCUCCCCCUUCCGCGCGCCCUAAUGGGCCGCCUUUCCCGCGCCCGCGCCGGCCCAAAUGGCUUGGCCGAGCCUCCUUCGACCCUUGGGCCGCGCCCUUGCCGCUCGAAAAAGUCUAAUAUAUAUCCCUCCAUCCUUUUCUUUUUCAGGGAUUUAAUAAAUCCUUUUUCCUUUGUCCCAUAAAUCAAUUCCUUGUUCCAAAAUUCCAUAAACCAUUUCUCGUAUUCCAGAAAAUUCCGAUAAAUCAUUUCCUUGACCAGAAAAUCCAAAUUAAACUUCCAAAAUUCAUAUCACCCAAUUCGCAACUCCGAUUGACUCCGUUCAACUUCCAGUAAUUCCGUAAAAUUGAGAUCUAUUUAAUGGCACUACUAAUUAGUCUAAAUAGGAUCUUUCUUUUGGUCCUUGUUUAGGUUUUCGAUUGUUUGCGUAUAGUUGCGGUUAUCGGAUUUUCGUCGAUCGCGGGUUUUCUCGAAGAUUCGUGAAGCUUCGUGAAGACUUUGAGCAAGGCAAGUCACCCUUUGAUCAAUUGCCCCUAUAAUUGAAAAGUCAUUAUUAUUUUGUUUACAACUUGCAUUAUUAGACUCACACACUUAACUUGCUUGGCCUCGGUUUGCGUGCCAAACCGACGGACCUACCCAGUAGUCGCACUAAUUUCCGUAGGUCGUACUACCCUGAUUCCUUGUCGCUCCACCCUUGUGGUACCUCGGUAUUCGUGCUCUCUGAGCGCGUAUACCAAAUACCCCACAUACACCGUUGUUUGUCGAAAACUUGGGAAAUGGGUUUGUGAAGCCUUCAAAACCCGACAUGUGGUGUCGGUGUGUUUGAAAAUAAAAUGAAUUGUGAAAACUCGCGAUGCGGGGGUUGUGCCUAUGUGGCACUGUCCCGUAUUCGCAUAUAAGGACCGAUUCCUGUGGGAAACUCAUCGAACAUAAUCAAAGUGCAACCACAAGGUGGAAUGGGACACCCUGGCUAAGUAGCUAGUCGGUUCAGGGAAACCUCGCAUGCCAAUAGUUGGGAACGCCGGGGCGGGGUCGGUUGGAGCCAAACCGGGUUCCUGGUAAUGCAAGAACGAGAAGCUUGCUGAAUUACCGGUCGAGGUGGUUGGAGUUUGAUUUGUGAACGCCUAAAAUGGCCUAUGUUUACGUGAGGAUUUGAUCCUUCUAUGUGGCAUGAGGUAUCCCUGGGUCGGCUUGGGAAAGGCUUUGUCGCGAACCUCUGACACCGGCCAGUGUCUGGAGUAAGUUCGUGUCUUGUGGGUAAAGUGUACCCCUCUGCAGAGGUUAACUAACUGUUCGAACAGCCGUGCCCACGGUCAUGGGCGGAUGUGAGGUGGUUCCCGUUCCGUAGAUUUGUUUGCCUGUGCUUUGUGAAAAGUUGUUGUGGUGUGGGAAUCGUAACCAGAAUCAGCCUAUGUGGCAGAUGGAUGACCUGAGUGGUCAGAAACGAAUCUGUGUGAUUCGGGAUGUCUGUGGGCAUCAUAGACUAGGCUUCCCGAGUGGAAGCGGAUUGUUGUGCUGCUGGGCAGCUGGACUCUGGGAGUCCGAGAAAAUGAAAAAGGCUCUGGGAGCCGAUUAAUCAAGUGGAAUGGCUCUGGGAGCCGAGAAGUAAUGAUCUGACCCGGGAGGUCGGUACAUUACCAAUUGAGUUGUUGAAAAGCAUCUCUUAAAGUCGAAUCGAGACGCAAGUCUCUCUUCGGCCCAAACUUAGAAAGAAAUAAAUCACUUAGUGAUUUCAAAAUGUCUUCAAAUAAAAGAUUUGCAAAACAACCUUGCCUCUCUUCCAAGCUUGCAUUAAACACCCAAGUUCCCGUGACUUGCUGAGUACGAAAGUACUCACCCUUGCUCUAUAUAAAUAUAUAUAUAGCUCCUCCGCCCUGAAGAGAAGAUAAAGUGAAGUGAAGAUUAGGGUUUCGUCCUGGUUCCCAGCCGUCGCCUGUGGUGUCGGGUGUUAAACCGUUGGUUCCGCUGCUGCUGCUGUUGUUGGUGUUCGCCUCGUCCGUGUCGUCGGUUGCAUUCUCGGGCUGUCUGAGCUGCAACCUAAGUUAAGGUAAAUAAGUCCUCUAUUUAUUUUAAGGAUUUGCAAUGAUUCAUAUUUGUCACCGUGGGUACCAGCACUAUGUCCUGGGACUGGUACUGAGAUCGCGGUUUCGUAGGAAGCGGUUCGCGCCGUUUUUCCUACGACACGCUCCUAUCAGGUGCCGUUGUGCGGCGGUGCCGGAUUGGGGUGUGACAAGAGGGGUGAGGGUGUAACAUCCCGGCCUAAGGCUUAAUAAGAUUAAUAGAAUACUCAUAUCAACAAGUUGCAACUUCUUUUCCGGAAGCCAAUCUCCAAAGAACUCCAGGGUUAAACGUGCUUGGCCUGGAGCAAUUUGGGAUGGGUGACCGACCGGGAACCCGGGUGCACAUGAGUGAGGACAAAGUGUGCAGAAAAGAUAUGUGUUGGUCUGUGAGGGCAGUCUAUGACCUAUGAAAGCUAUCAGAUGAAUGACCUAUGAAAGUGUUGGUCUGUGAGGGCAGUCUAUGACCUAUGAAAGCUAUCAGAUGUAAGUGGGCCCGGCCUGGGGGAGGCGGGACGUUACAUAGUCCCUGAUCGGACGUAUUUCGUCUUACCUCAUCCUAUGUGGCAAAUGCCUUUUUAUUACUCUUUAAUUAGAUCCUUUAAUGGCAAUUAAUCCAUUAUAUUAAGAAAACUAACCGUGUUUCCAUCCCUAGGUUACUAAAUGUCUGCUGGCGAAAUUCCAAAUUUUGAAUUUUCCAUAAUUCAUCAUAAGAAUACAGAACUGAUUUUAUUAUUUUUAUUUUCAAUUUAUUGUGGAAUUUAUUAUUAGAUUGAGUUUGAGAAAAUUCUUUAUACAUCUCUUAAAUUUCAACCAAUCCCUUGUAUGUUCAUGAGUUUUGCUCGGUCUGUUAUAUAUCAUCUAAUUUUAGUUUUGAAUUUUUUAUGCCCAUACCUAUAGUUGACCAUUUAAUUCAUUUGAAAAUAUCCAUUUCGCUCUUAGAAAUGGAAGAAACAUAUAAAUUUUUUUAAGUAUAUUGUUGGAAGUAUAAGUUUAUUGUACAAGACUACUAUAUUUGUGAUUUUAUUUUUUUGUGCGAGGUACUAUUCACGGCAAAGUUUAUAUUUCAGAUAAUGAUAAAAAAUAAUUUUAUUUUUUUAAUUGAUAUAAGUGGGAGAGAAAAAUAGAUCGAGUAAUGAAAACCAGCAAGCCUAGAAGAUACAACAGCUAAUCAACAUACAAAAGUUAGCGAAAGUAUAGUAAGCUAAAGACGAUAGCAAGCAGGACAAGCAAACAAAAGCCAAUGACGAUUUUCGUCGGAGAAAGAUGACCGGUUUCUCCACGGCGUUGCAACGACCGAGGGCCCUGUAGAAACCCUCCUGCGUCGCCAUGGUCACGAACCCAAACCCUCGCGAUCUCCCCCGCUUGUCGUACACGACCCUCGCCUGCACCACCUUCCCGUGCUCGCUGUACAUCUCUCGCAGCCGGAGUCUAUCCACCUGCGGCGACAGAUCGCCGGCGUAUAUCCUCAGCUCCCGGCGGCGGCGCCGCCGUCUUGCCGGAGCUGCUGCUGCUUCUUCUUCUACCUUGAUCCAAUCAAUGUUGGGCUCAGGCAAGAACCACAUGCACCUCUCGUCGUUCCAUCCGGCGGGCAGCGUUUCCACCAGCGUCGUCGUCGUCGCCGGCGAGCCGGAGCUGUCCACGAAGCUGCACCUGUACACGCGGCACGGCUCCGACCUGACGACGAAGUAGGCGCUGCCGCCGGGCACGUCGCCGCUGAACCGCGCGGCCUCCACGGCGAAGCUGCCCGGGUAUCCCAGGAAGAGGACGUGGUCACCGAGGACAUCGUCCCUCUUCUCCCACACCGGCACGGCAGCUGGCUCGUCGUCGUCCACGGCUGCACCCAGCACCCGGAUCGAGCGCGUGCACAGCUGCGUCCACAUCGAACGCGUGCACGGACACCGAGAGGCGGUCGUCGUCGUCCUCGUCCUGUAGAACGCUGGCCAGCAGCAGCUCGCCGCGAAGCUCCAGGAGGUAGCUGCGUCGUCGGCGCACCUUGCCGGGCUCGUCAGGUAGACAAAUAGCCGUGUUCCUCAGCCAUAGCGAAUCCUUCUUGUGGAUGUAACAGUGCGCCAACGUCGGCUACACGCUUCUCUCCCGAAAUCGCUAAUAAGCGACUAGUUGCGCGCGCGCGCGAGUUCACCUCCUACUACUUCUACUUUCUAGCCCAACAUUUUAUCUGACUGUUUUCUGGGCCUCUGGUGGGCUUUCCCCUCUCCACCCGGAGGGUUUCCUUUUUCUUUUCUUUUUUGCCGUUUCUCUUCUUUUUUUUCUUCGUUCUCUUUCCGUUUUGGUUUUCUUCGGUUUUUUUUCAGUUUCUUUUCCUUUUUUCGGUUCUCUUUCUGAUUUGGUUUUUUCCUUUUUUUCGGUUUCUCUUCUUUUUUUGGUUUUUUUAAUAUGUACUUGUACAAAGUUUAUAUUUGUAGGUAUACCAAUUUUCAUAUUUAUACGUAUACAAAUUUUGUAUUCAUGUUUUUUCUCUCGGUUUUUAAUAUGUACAUAUACAAAGUUUGCAUACGCGUAUACAAAGUUUGCAUACGCGUAUACAAAGUUCGCAUAUAAAAAAUAUACAUGUAUACAAACUUUGCAUACGCGUAUGCAAACUUUCUAUACGCGUAUACAAACUUUGUAUUUUGUAUACGCGUAUGCAAAGUUUGUAUACAUGUAUAUUUUUUAUGUCAAUUUUUUGGUACACAUAAAAAUUAUAUACACGUAUGUAUAUACUUUGUAUACACACGUCACACACAUAUAUAUAUAGGAAAAUGCAGAUUUGCACUCGGGUUCACAUGUACCUACAAUCUACACCGUUGAUGUGUUCCAAGAUUCGUGCUGCAAAAUGUACCUAACCUUAACCAAAUGAAUGCCUCCUAUAGGGAGAAAAGAUUAGGAUUAUGUUGGUUCAUAAUAUGUAUAACAUGUAUGUUGCAUUUUUUACCAAAUAUUUUUUUUAAUAACAAUCAUAUAUGACAUUUAUAUAUCCAGUGCAUCGUAUUUCUCUAACCCUUAUUUUGUUUAUAACAUGAUAUUUAGUUAAUAUGAGAAAACAAUAUAUCUACUAUAUCACCAAAUUGUCAUAUUGCAAAAAUGAUAUUUCCAAAAUGAUAUAUAUCCUACUAUCAAAAACUACAUAAACAAGGUAAUUUAUAUAAACAAGGUAAACUACAUAAACAAAUUUUGCAUACAAGAAAUAUAAAAAUUACAUAAACAAGGUAUUUUACACUAUAUAGUAUAACGUAAACAUCAUGCAUGGUAUAUUUUGUUACCACCUAAUAUGCUUGUCCUAAGAUUCGUGCAAGCUAUAUAUAGGGUAUAGAUUGUGGUUACACGUGAACUCGCGUGCAAAAAAAUCCAACUCAAUAUAUACAUACAUACAUACAUACAUACAUACAUACAUACAUACAUACAUACAUACAUACAUACAUACAUACAUACAUACAUACAUACAUACAUACAUAUAUAUAUAUAUCACUCGGUUCAUAUGUACCUACAAUCUACACUGUUGAUGUGUUCCAAGAUUCGUGCUGCAAAAUGUACCUAACCUUAACCAAAUGAAUGCUUACUAUAGGGAGAAAAGAUAAUUAGGAUUAGGUUGGUUCACAAUAUGUAUAACAUGUAUGUUGCAUUUUUUACCAAAUAAAAUUUUCAAUAAUAAUUAUAUAUGACAUUUAUAUAUCUAGUGCAUUGUAUUUCUCUAACCCUUAUUUUGUUUAUAACAUGAUAUUUAGUCAAAAUGAGAAAACAAUAUAUCUACUAUAUCACCAAAUUGUCGUAUUGCAAAAAUGAUAUUUCCAAAAUGAUAUAUAUCCUACCAUCAAAAACUACAUAAACAAGAUAAUUUAUAUAAACAAGGUAUUUUACACUUGUAAAAAAUAUAGUAUAACGUAAAUAUCAUGCAUGUUACAUUUUGUUAGCACCUAAUAUAUAUACUUACCCUAAGAUUCGUGCAAGAUACAUAUAGGGUGUAGAUUGUGGGUACAUGUGAACUCGCGUGAAAAAAAUCCAACUCAUAUAUAUAUAUAUAUAUAUAUAUAUAUAUAUAUAUAUAUAUAUAUAUAUAUAUAUAUAUAUAUAGGACACUCAUAUGGGGCACCAUGGUGCCCGGGCACCAUGGUUUCAAAUGCACAAAAUCACUCAAAUUUUUCAAAAUUUUCAAAUUGUGAGUAUAUACCUAGUUAUAAGAAUUCGAUUCAUACCUAUACCUAUCAACAAAACAACUCAAAUUUAACUUUAUUUCACAAUCCAUGAUUACAUACCUAACUAAUUAUAUGUAUGGAUGCUAUAUACCUAGAAUCAAAAUCUAACAAAAACAAGUUCAAAUUCAGUUCAAACUUGCUUUCAACUAGUUAGUAAAGUAGUUAAUAUUAAUACCUAAAUAAUUGAAAAAGUUUCAUGCUCAUUUGAAUUGGGUAUAUACUCAAUUUCAACAAUGGUGCCCGGGCACCAUGGAGCACCAAACAAAUUUACUAUAUAUAUAUAUAUAUAUAUAUAUAUAUAUAUAUAUAUAUAUAUAUAUAUAUUAGUAUAGACAAGAGGAUAUAGUAGUAUACAGACUAGAGGAAAGCAGCUGCUCGCGUGGCGUUGGAAAGAGUUAGGAGAAAGCCCACAUGCACGCAUUGGACUGGAGCCUGGAAAAAGGAAGUGAAGGCCCACACGCGCGCUGGAAAAGAAAGGGAAGGCCCACGCGCGCGGCAAGGUGCAUGUAUUCCGUUUAUGUCGUCUUGCCCGCGCGCGCCUCCCGGCGCGCGUUCAGUCGCGCAAUAGCGACGCCCCUCCUCUCCCCUUUUUCCUCCCCUUCUUCUCUUCCUACUAUACCAUAAAAUUUUUAAAAAAUAAAAAUAAUAAAGUUAGAAAAAUUUAUGUAUAGAAUUACUUAUAUAUAAAAAAUAUUUGAAUUCAAAUUCAAAUUUGAAUCGGAUAUAUAAACUUUUGACAUAAAAACUUUGGGUCGAUAAACUUUAGGUGUAUAAACUUUAAAUAUAUAGAAAUACUAUAUAUAAAAAUAUUUGAAUCAGAUAUAUAAACUUUUGACUUAUAAACUUUGGGUCUCUAAAAUUUAGGUCUAUAAAUUUUAGGUGUAUAAACUUUAGAUAUAUAGAAAUACUAUAUAUAAAAAUAUUUGAAUUCAAAUUUAAAUUUGAAUCGGAUAUAUAAACCUUUGACUUAUAAACUUUGGGUCUCUAAACUUUAGGUAUAUAAAUUUUAGAUGUGUAAACUUGAGGUGUUUAAAUUUUAGGUGUAAAAAUUUACUAAAAUAAGAAAGUAAUACGGUGUAAAAAAUAAAAAAAAAGAAAUCAUGUGGGGGAGAGGGACCGAUCGCUACCGAGCGAUCGCUUGUUAGGACUUUCGGCAUGCUAACGGAAAUGGUUGGUUAAACGAUUGAUUGCUCCCGCACGAGUGCACGAUACAUUAUGACACCACAUUGUGCUCAAAUUUGAGGAUCGAAAUCUAUGGUAUGAUAUUUCUGUCUAAUGGAGAAGGGAUAAAAAUAUCAUCUCGAGUUGGUCGUUCACUACAUCCGACACUUCAUCAGCAGCAACAUGUGGUGUCUCUCACUAAAAACAAUAUUCCUAUACAUGAACCUCUUUAGAUUGCAAAUGGCCAGUAACUCGUCACGUUUAAAAAAAAACUUUCUCUAUUUUCGUGUGCGGGUUCCUAAGAGGGCUGCACCGAAAAAUCGAUUUUCAAAAACAGGCCUCUUAAGUGGACUGCACGCAAAAAAUACAAUUUUUUUUAUCUCACUUUAAAAUUUUCAAUUCUUCUCUUUUCCUUUCCCUUUUAUUACUCCCUACUCUCUCUCUCCUCUCCUCUUCUCCCAUCCAAGUGUGCGGCGCGCGGGAGGCGGCCGGCUCGCGGCCGGGGGCGGGCGGGAGGCGGCGCGGUGACUAGCGACCGGCAGCCAGGCAUCGUGGCCAGGAGCGGGCGACGCGCGGCUCGGGACCGUGCGCGACAGCUGGAUCCAAGCCGCCCCUACCGCCCUCGACGACGACGAGGAGAGGAGGCGGCCUGGAGCGGCCCCGCAAUGGUCCUAUCCGCCGCCGUUGUUGCGACGCCUGGAUCCGCCGCCGACAAUGACGGCGAGGAGGAGGUGGCCGGGAGCGGGGCGCAGCGCUGCCGACAAUGAGGAGGAGGCGACCGGGAGCGGCGCCACCCUCCCCACGCGCGGCGGUGGCGGAUCUGGCAGUAGUGAGACACGGUGACCGUCGCACGCGCAGAUACGACGAUGGCCGCCCUCCUCCGCACGGUGGUGGCGGAUCAGACGGGGGGAGGCGCGACAGCAGCCAAUCCGGUGGUGGGGAGGCAUGGGGGUGGCGGAUCUGGCUCUGGCGACGGCGAUGAGAGCAGGUGGACCCAGCGACGGUGACCACGAGGAGGGCGGCGGCGACAGGUUCUAGGGGCAGGGUUUCGGGUUUUUUUUUUAUUUUAUUUUUUCGGUUUUUUAUUUUGGCGACAUAAGCACCGUCACACAAAAAUAGUGAUUUUUCCGGACCCUUUGGAGCAUGCGGCUAGCCAUACCACACGCGAAAACCCUUUCUUGCCGCACGGAAAAAUUGUUUUUUAGUAGUGUCUUGCUCUCCAUGCUUACUUCAACAUCUGUAGUGGUACAUGAAUCCUCUACGGAUUAGAUGAGAAUGCGCCCAUGAACUCUAAUUGAACAUCUUCUUAUUUGUGCAGUCCACACAUCGACACAUAAUAUAUUUGCUCAUCCUAAUUUUUCUGUCAUUAUCCGCAAAAUUUAUGAAUUCAGUGACUCCCUCCUAUACUCUGGGAUCAAAAGGUGAAUAUCGGACAUCCAUCAAAAGGUGAAUAUCGGACAUCCAACUUCUUUUUUGAGAAUUACACAGUACAUAUCUUCGAAGACUGGGCCGGCAAAUCCUCCUGGAGAUUGAUGAAGUCUCCACAGGCGCCUCGCUAUACGUCGCCUACCAUUGAAAGACGAAGUCUCCACAGGCGCCUCGCUAUCGAUGGGUACGUCGCCUACCAUUGAAAGCACAAUGUUGUUAAAUCCUAAAAAAUUCGCUCCCAUGGGAGUCGAACUCAGGAUCUAAAGUGCUAUUGAGACUCUUAUAACCACUAGGCUAUAUGCCCUUUUACAUCGUACAUCCAACUUUGGUCCAUCUACGGUCAAUAAUAUAAAACUUCUCUUUUCCUGGUGACUUUGUGUUCAGAAUUCAGAAUCGUGUUUUUUUUUCCUUUUUUGCUGUGGGAGAAUACAGAAUCUUUUUAGAAUGUCAACCAAAACAAUUUACUGAAAAAAAUAUGAAUAAUCUUUUUUUAUAAGGAAAGAAAAAAAUAUUUAUUUUGCUGUGGGAGAAUUUAAAUAUUAUUAGAAUGUCAACCAAAACAAUUCACAUAAAGAAAUGAAUAUUUUUUAGAAGGAAAUAAAAAAUAUAUUAUCAGAGCCAGGUUUCGAUCCUGGGACCUGUGGGUUAUGGGCCCACCACGCUUCCGCUGCGCCACUCUGAUCGUUAUGCUCAGAGGCAUAACAAAAUAUAAUUAGUACUUGUUUGUAACAAUGCAAUUUUGUCUGUUAAAAGGCCAAUAUGUGGAAAUAACGGUUUAGUAUAUUAUGAGUGUGUUCACUGCCAUGUGUAGCAAUCAGACACGAAGCACACGGUUGUAUAAACAAAUGCAUGCUAAGCAAUUUUUAAGAAAGCACAGUAGAGAAGGCUUCCACGGUAUAUAUAUUAAAUAAAACGUAAAUCUAGAUCGAGAAGCCACUCGUUUGUGACGCGCCUUAGAGCUAUCCGACCCCGUGUAGGCAUAUAUGCGCAUAGCAUGAGGGGAAAAAAGAGAGAAGUGCUACUACACAUCUACACGUUCAUGUCUUGUUUGUUAUUAUAUCAUACAUGCCAUUUUUCCUUCUAAUAAAAUUAUCUCUUAAUUACUUAUUUGAUCUAUAAUCCGACAAUACCAAUGUGUUCGUUGUAAUUAAAUGUUUAUAACAAGAUCUUACAUGAUUAUAUUAUGAUAAAAAAAUAUUUAUGUUUGCAAAUUACUUUUAUUAUAUAUGUAUGUUACUUUUAUCAUAUAUAUAAAUUACUUUAAGAUUUGAUUAAAUUACUUCUUAUACAUUCAUAAUGCUUGUUGAUUACUUUUUAUUAUUGUUUUUAGUCAAUUCCAUAAUUUGUGCAGAUUAAAUUUAAUUUCUUGAUAGACUCAUGUUUUUAUCCCUACAACAGAUUCACUUCUAUUGUUGUAGCAACUCAGUUCCAUUUUGUGCUAAGUUACUUUUUUGAUUACUUUCAAACUUUAUUAAACUUACUUUCAUAAAUGUAUUUACAUAAAAAUCUUCUCUACACUUUGCUUGUGAAUUUACUCCCCAGUUUCUUACUACAACUCAGUAAUAAUGUAAUUGCCUCUAAUGUUAUAUAGAGUUACUUCUAGUGCAUAUCUAAGUUACUUCUAUAAUUUAAAUAAAUUACUUUUAUAUUAAUAAAAUGUUUGAAUAUAUUCGACAUGGAUCUCGUUUUGUCACAUAUUUUGAAUAGAGUACAAUGAUGUAAAUAGAUCGUAAAAAUAAUAUGUGAUUUAAAAGAUAUAAGUCACUAAAGAAAGAUUUAUAUAUAGGAUGGAGUGGUCUCCGGUUAGGACUAAUUCACUACUGUGCACUAUCUAGUCACAUCCUAAAUAAAAGGUUUAUAUACGAAAAUUAAAACGAUAACAAAACAAAAGCAAGACAUAACAAAUUACAAAUAUUCAAUCCAUGAUUGCACCAAUGGACGAUGAGAAUCCUUGAGCCUAGGUAAAUGUAGGCUCAAAUCUAAUUUUAAACUUCUCUCCCAAGAGAGAACAUCAGGCUACAAACCAUUAAGAAUCAAGCUAUUUCUCUCCUUCCAGAUAUUCCAGGCAGCCAAGAGCAGAAGUUCUAUGAAACAAGAAUAGGAAAAGGAAGCACUCUAGGAUUGAAUCAUUUGAUUAAAUUCAUGUGUACUGAUCCAAUUCCACCCCAGCUGACUCCAACAAAGAGAACUAAAAUCACAUGAAAAGAAGAGAUGUUCUCGAGUUUCCGUACCAUUGUGGAGGCAACAAGAACAAUAAAACAGUUGCAUGGGCUGGAACACAAUGUUUUCUAUCUAAAAGAUCCCUUGUAUUAACUUUGUCCAUGGCUAAGCAAAUGGUUAUAUAAACUUUGGAAUGAAGAGGGAGAUUGGAAAACUUGCUAAGGAGGUACCUAUCAAAGAAAAUUUUGACUCAUGUAGAGAAAAAAAAUCAAGGUAUUAUCAUUUCUGGUCGGUACUCAUGAUGGUUAAAAACAUCUCCGGAUCAUUAAAGUGCACGGUGGGACUCAGGUUAGAGUCUAGGAGGAUCAAUGGAACGGGAAUACUCUCUUUGCUGCUUGUUACCCAGCCUUGUAUAACUUUGUGAUAAACAAGAAUGAAUCAGUGGCAAGGGUCAUGAGUAAAAGACCUCUAUAGGAGGGCUAUAGUGGGACAUAAUUUAAAAGCUUGGUUGGAAGUGGUCUCAAAGGUUAUAUCAAUAAAAUUGACCGAGCAAAAUGAUACAUUUUUGUGGGAGGCAAUGGGCGUUUCUCAGUUAACUUAAUGUACAAAGCAAUCAUGUAUAGGGAAGCCAUUCCUAAAAAGGACAUGAUUUGGAAACUCAGAAUACCACUAAAAAUUAAAAAAUUAUUGUGGUAAUUAAAGACUGGAGUAAUUUUAACAAAGGAUGAUUUAGUCAAAAGGAAGUGGAAGGGUAGUGUUAGGUGUUGUUUUUGUGAUUCUAACAAAUCAAUUCAACACCUUUUGUUUGAUUGUAUUUUGGCAAGAUUCAUGUGGAAUGCAGUCUUUAUAUCUUUUGGAGUUCAUCCGCCUAGGAAUGUUGCUAAUCUUUUCAGCAAUUUGCUAAAUGGGGUUCAACCCAAGCUAAGAGCUCAAAUCCUUGUGGGGAUCGCAGCUUUGUGUUGGGUGGUUUGGCUAUGCCAGAAUGAUACAGUCUUUAAUAGCUCCAAUACUAAUUUUUUUUGUUACAGGUGAUUUUCAAGGGGACUUUUUGGACAAGGCAAUAGUCUUUGCUACUUAAGGAGGAAGAUAGCCAAAAAAUGAGAGAAUAUUGCUUGAUGUUGGAGAAGAGAGUUUCUGGCUUUUCGCAAUGAAGGGGUCAAACUUAGAAAAUGAUUGGGAGAAUAAUACUCUCUUGUUUUGUUGUGUGGUUCGGUUGAAACUCGUAUUAACUUUUUAAGAAUUGUUAUUGCUAGAGCCUAGUUGCUUGACAUGUUGUUAAACCUUUUGUAAGAGAGUGAGUCUAUGUACUCCUAUAAGUUUUGUUGGGGCUGUGUACAUCUUUUUGGAUGUAGAGACCGGUUUAAUCAAUUAUCUAAAAAUCAACAGUACACGGUGCUCUUUAAUAUGGAUGUAUAUAAAGAUAAUCAGGCUGCCUUCCAACCUGCAUAUAUUGCUGUUUGUUUAGAGUGAAGCUGCUGAUUUGUUUCUAUACUAUCUUACCUGGUAUUGGAUAAGGUAUAUUGUAAAUUAUAUGGUUGCUACGUACUCCCUCUGUUAAAAAAAAACUAAUCUAGUAUCGGCUGUGACAUGUCCAAAUUCAUAGUACUAGAAUAUGUCACAUCCGAUCCUAGAUUCAUUUUUUAUGAGAUGGAGGGAGUACUCCGUCUGGAUAAACAUGUCGCACCCAAACAACUCUGAAUUGAAAAUCCGUACUAUACUACCUCCAUCCCAUAAAAAAUCAACCUCGUACUGGAUAUAACACAUCCUAAUAUAAUGAUUCUAAAUAUGUCGCUGUCUAGAUUCGUUGCAUUAAAGUCUACAUUCGUUUUUUUUAAGAUUCGUUGCAUUAAAGUCCUACAUUCGUUUUCUUUAAGACGGAUGGAGUAUGCAUGUGACACUACUAAUUGCAUUUUAUUUCUUAGGCCAGGUUUAGUUCCCAAUUUUUUCUUCAAACUUCAAACUUUUUCAUCACAUCGAAACUUUCUUAUACACGUAAACUUCUAACUUUUUUCUUUAAACUUUCAAUUUUAAUCAAACUUCUAAAUUUGGCGUGGAACUAAACACACCCUUAGCUUCUUCCUGAGCAGGAGUAACAUCAAUACACGUCACACUGAAUGUGCCCAUCCGUGGAAUCUAAGGAAAAAAGAAUAUCAUUAUUCUUCAACGAGAGAGCAGUUGCAUGACUGAAACAUAUUCUUUUUUAUAUUACACUACCAUACCUAAUCAUAGGCAAUACACAAGCUCUGGAAGUCUUGAUUACCAACAAGUCCGCAAACAAACUAUAGACAUGCAAGGCUGCGAACAGAUAACCAAUUAACCCCACCUAACAACCAUGUCGAAGAACUUGACUGGAACAAUAUUAACCAACAUAUAUUAAGCUUUCAAGUCAAAUGCACGUUGGUCAUAGGUAGUCAUUUCGUUCAUGCGUACAACAUUCAGGCCACAAAUCUCGUACUGUCAUACACAAACACAUGCACUUAACCAUGUCAUUAGUAAGCCAGUGGCAACUGGAAAAGAUUUUUCAGACAAUCAGAACUAGAACUCCCUCUUAACCAAAUAAAUGAAGCGAAUAAACUGUGUCAUCUAAACCGUCAGGACAAACUCUACCUCAUGAAGCUCCAACCUAAGGAACGAAGUUCACACGCGCGCAUUUGAAUGGAGUGACAGCUUAAGUGCGUGCACAGCGUGAUUUUGCAUUCCCAGCCAGGAGAACUGUACAUUCUACUAUUGGAUCCUACCCUUGUACUUACAGAAACCAGUAAACACGGGAUUACAAGCGAAAUCUGGGCACACGUAGGAGGGUUAUCUUAGCUUCGACUAGAUCUCAUCCUGCUCCAUUGGUUCUGCUCCGUUUCCACUAUGGAUAGAACUUGAGGCAUUGACAUGCCUCCUGAAACGACAAUCUCUGCAACACCACGAAACAAGGCAAUUACCAAAGCUAUUCAAAGUUGAAGGGAUGAAAAUUCAUUUAGCUUAGAAAUAGAAGAUGCGCAUACCGAUGCCUUCACGAACAGAUAAGUUUGGUCUAAUCACAUCACUUGAGUUGACCAGAAAUAUGUCCCCAAUGUAGAGAUGGUUGGUUGGUACAUAUACACAGUACAUUUGUUCCUCACUGGAAUAAUCCUGGCGUAAGGAAGUAAACGCGUAUCAAUAUUUUGUCCAGACGGUUAGUUAGCCAAAAGUAUGCAACUAAGAAAUGCUAGUGCAAAACCCUAAUACAUAGAAGAGCACAUGAACAUCCAUGAAAAAUAUUCAAAUGCAACAUAUCAACUAAUGCAGCUGCACUGCCUGUGCUAACAACUAAGGAAGCUCCACAUAUUUGGACAACAAAACAAAUAAAUUUUAACUCAUUCACAGAUAAAUUGUUUCAGCAAAUAAAUUGACUAGCAGUUAACUCGUUCACAGAUUAACAGUUUAGCUCAGAAUGAGUAUCACAUUUUUUUUUAGUUUGUAAAGUUACUUAUAAUACUGGUAUGAGAAAAAAUGUAUGGAGAACUGGCCAGGCACCUGUCUAUUUCUAAGGCUGUGUACCGUGGCUUUGUUUAGUUCCAAACUUUUUCUUCAAACUACCAACUUUUCCAUCACAUCAAAACUUUCCUACACAUAAACUUCCAACUUUUCCAUCACAUCGUUCCAAUUUCAACCAAACUUCCAAUUUUGACGUGAACUAAACACACCCUGUGUUCUUCCCCCAACUUUCCCAACUCAUCUCCAUCGUUUUCCGCGCGCACGCUUUUCAAACUACUAAACGGUGUGUUUUGCAAAAAUUUUCUAUACAAAAGUUGUUUUAAAACAAUCAUAUUAAUCCAUUUUUCAAAAAAAUUAAUACUUAAUUAAUUAUGUGCUAAUGAGUCGCUCCAUUAUCCAUGCGGAGGGAAUGAAUUCCCAACACAAGGAAACGAACGCACCCUAAGUGCUUUUCCUAGGCCAAUCCGAAAUUUAAAACAUUGGCACUCAGCAUGGGAUGUUAAUAUCAAGAUUGGGAAAGGUCACUUGUUUUAGGAAAAAAUAGAAAUAAACACCCUGCACCAAUAAUUUCCAUUAUAAUUAGCAAGAUUAACUAUCCUGCAAUUACCAUAUCUUCAUUAUGUUCUUCCACUUUCACUAACAACCUCUUCCCCUUCUAUAUUCAUACCUGUUUCUGCUAUUUCAAAAAACCAGGUGCUACUGUGCUACUACUGCACUAAUUACCACAGGGCACCCUCAAAACCAUCACUGAUACUUAAGUCAUGCCUAAAUAGAAGUCAAACCUCCUGCUGUCAGGUGUGAACAUCACACAGCUAUCCACCAUGCAUAGAAUCACUAAACCGCUAGUUACAGUAGCACGUGCUCAAUCAUUAUGUUGGACCACUAUCACUUCAGUUGAUUAGCUGCAUGCAUGCAUAUCUCAUAAUUUGUUAGCCAAUUUUGUUAGUUGCUUUCGUCUGUUUGUGCAAAGUUCGAUGACUGGCAAAAGGGUCCAUGAUGUUAUCAGUGGCAGCUACUUUAAACAAAAUGUAAACAGAUCACCAAAACUUGGUGAAACAAUCUCAAUACAGUGAUAACACACACAAAUAUAAUGCAUGAACAAUAACUAUGAUACUAGGAAAUGAAGAGAGAACAAUUGAAUUAUAAUAGCUAGCACCACUCAAACCUGAAGUAGAACUUCCGAAGUGAUGAAUCCAAAUGCAUAUUCGCCAAUUCUGGGAUGCCUUAUAAUGACCACUUCCUUGAAUGCAUGUUUGUUCUGAUCUGCAUGAAAAACCAAAUUAGCGAUUGACAAUUAAAUUGUGGUUUAUGGAAUCACAUUAAGGUGGAGAAUAUAACCAGGUGAAAUGGCAGCACUGAUCUGCUUGGAUGCAUUGUAAAUAUGGCGAACAAAUGGCAUUCUCUUUAUAAACCACUCUCCCAGACCGAGAAUAGAUGCCCCCAGCCAAGAUGACAUGAACACACCAACCACAAAAAUGAAUGAUAUUGAAGUUACAAAACCAAGUCCUGCAAAUAGUGUGAAAAUCGUCAACUUCAGAAUCGAGUGGAAAUCCAUUAUAAACCAUGAGAAACCACAGUAGAAAGAAGGCACACACAACUACAGAAGAGUGGGUACCCAGAACAACCUAUGAACAAAGUUGGCAGACGAUGCACAAUAAGUAGGUUAUGAUCUUUGAAAAUUUUGCUAUGAUAUCUAGUUAUAUACUCUUUAUUUCAUAAGAGUACAGAGGUUGGAAAGCAAGUUUGAGGAAAAGCUUCAGUCAAACCUACAUCUAAUUUUAAGGGCAGAACUUUUUUUUUUUAACAAAAGAAGAGGGUGUGGGUUUGUGCAUAAAUAGCAUUGAAAGGUCCGCCUGAUUCUUUAAGAACAAGAAGCAAUUGCAUCACAAAAUACUUCCUCUGUCCCAGAAUGCUGGACGUUCAAGGAUGGUUGAGCCAAAUUAGUUGUGACUGAAAAUGGCCAUUUUGCCCCUAAUUUAUGAGAUUAGAGCUAAUCAUGUGGAUGCUUGAGUAGUACUAGUACACUGCCACAUCUGCUAUUUCAUGGCUUGAGUAGUUCUAGUACACUGCCACAUAUGCUACUUUAUGGAUUAAACUAAUGCAACCAGUCCAAUCAAUUCAAAACUUUUCACUUUCUUUAUGGAUGCUUUUCUAGGAGUCUGUAACUGUGUGCUGUUGGGGAAGUGCAGCGUCAACAAAUAUGGGACAUUUGCUUGUGAGCAGAACGACCUCCUUUGUGGGACGGAGGGAGUAUGAGGUAAACAUAAAUGUAUGGAAUUAAGUUGAGAACAGUAAUGAAGAAAGAACAACAUAUCCAAUUAAGUAUAUGGGAAUAAACAAAAAAAAAAUGAAGCUUUAUAGCUCAUCUAAAUUAUAAUUUGAAUGUCAUAGACACAUAGCAAUCAUAGGACAAUUAGCUGUUCAAAAAACAACAUAAGACUAUCAACACAAGAUAAAAGCUAAGGAGUGAUGUCUACUAAUAUCAUCUGUGUAAAGCAAAAUACAGACAGUCAGACAGAGGAAAGAAGUAAUGACUAAUUAGAUGGGACAGGCAUUAUGCGAAUAUACGUGAUAAUGUGAAUAAAGGUCUUAAGCGUAAUGGCAAUAGUAGCCUAUAUGCUAAUGAUAUUUUGGUGCAUACACAAAUUUAUGGUACAUAUGUAUUUGUGAUAACUCAAAAGAAAAGUCCAGUGACUUGGAAGAACCUACAAACUACAAAUGAAAGCAAAUAUUGCUGGAGUUGGUAAGGAAUAAAGUAAACAAGAGUAGUUCUCCAAUACUAAAAAGAAAAACAUAUUUCUAAUAGGAUUAUAAUUCUCUUGAUCAACUAAGUAGUAAUCUGGACUGACAAUCAUACAAUAGUUCAAGUACUGUGCAUACCAAAUAUAUUGAUUCCAAGAUGAGCAUAUAUUGGGGAGAAAAACCCAUCCACAAAGCGAAAGAACCACCAUGUGAUAUAGAAUGUAACUGCAAUUGGAAAGAGGAUUACACUGAAACAGAAGGGAGAAAAUCCCAUUAGCAAAUGAGAAAUACAGGAAAAACUUUACAAUGAAAUCUCCAAUGUUAGUAUUAAGUUUUUAUUUAAGUACACAAAACUGCAAUAACAUUUGCAAUAUGGCAAAUAAUAGCUAAAAUAGUACACUAUUUACUGCUUUUAAAAUUAUUUCACUUAGAUUCUCAUGCCCCCAGAGAUAUUUUACCAAAGCAUAGUAGAAAUAAAAGAAACGAAGAAAGUAUCCAUGCUAUAAUUGCAAACAACCAAAUAGAAACUUAGAUUCCAUGCUGGCAGUCUGGCACUACGAUUGAACUGUUGUUUUCCUUUCUGUAGCCAAAAGACCAAUUAUUAUGAUAGGCAAUUCUAUUCAUGCUAUUUUUAUAUUGAGUCCGUGAUACAUCCCUUAUGAGAGAGAUAUUUCAACAAAUAUAAAGAAAAAAAAUUGAAUUUAUGGGAUAAAUUGCAUGAGAUUAGGAAAUGAAGUGAAGACUUCAUGGAUUAAUUAAAUUCAAUCUUUAACUUAUUUGACUCCUUUUCUCUCCAAAUAGACCAAGUUCAUGAAAGGAUAGACUAAAGUCCCUCUUAUCAGAUUGAGAUCUGCAAUCAUUUAUGAUAAACAUCCAAUCCAUUUCAUCAUGUUCAUUUAUAAUCUGCAUCUAUCAGAUCAUCUGACUGGAGAAAUGCGACUGUGCACCAUAAUGGUAUCAAUUCAGUUUCUGUCAUUCUUGCAAAACCAAAAAAUUCAGAAAGAACUAGCGUAUAUUUUACUUUCAUUUAUACUUCAAGAAAGGAUGGAUAUGACUGGUUGGGAAACACAUUGAGCAGCUCAACUAGUACAGUGAACAGCACAUAAGGGCAAUCAGGUUCAAGGGGUCUGAACACCAAGAUAUGCUUGAAUUAAGACAAGGUAAAAUAUUACAAUUAAAUUUAAAGUGGGAAAAUGAAAUUCUAAAUGAAAUUCUGUAAAGUUUUUCCAAGGUCCUAACUCCUAACAUCACUAUCAAAGUAUCAACUGCUGUCAGCAAGAAAAACAUGUGUGUCACCACGGUGCAAAUUUCGCAAUGCUGGCUGUCAAAACUUUUGCGGUUGAGCUACAGUCUCAAUUGGCAUAAUUGAGACCCCAACUCCCAAUGCUCUAAUCAAGACGGCAACACCAUUGGCAUUAUACACUAUAAGUAAAAUAGCAACAUCAUCACCAAACUGAACACGAGUAAGGCAUGCAUCCAGACUCAAUUCUGCGGAUCCCAAUCUAACAGCAAAACCAACAUGCCCACAAGUUUGAAGCUUGUUCGUUUUGUGUCCCAAAACUUAGACAUCUAAGCUUAAAGAGAAAAUUUUUCCGACGCCACGAAACUCCCGUGGUAAUCCACCGGUCCAAUUUCGGAUCCAAAUUCUGAACCACGAAAGCAAAAAUCCUCCAAAAUCGAGGAGCACAAAAACAGGCGACGUACCAUCCGGUCAUGAACUUCUUGGACGCCCAGCUAUGCACAACCUUGUGAAACGCCUGAAAAUCAACAAAACCACAAAGAAAAGGCGUCACAUUUCGAAACACGCAUUACAGCUUCGCCACGCCCUCCAGAUCAAAUCUGGCUCGAUGCUACAAAAAAAAAAAAGAUUCCGUGGAGGAAAGGGUGCCGGACCUCACGGCCGGUCUGCGCGGCGGCGGCGGCGGCGGAGGCGGAGGAAGGCUUGGACUCGUCGUCGGAGUCGGAGUCGCGGCCCGCGGCCGAGGCGGAGGCGGAGGCGGAGGUGGCGACGGCGGCGGGCGGGACGAGCAGCAGCUCGCGGUCCCGGUCGCGGUCGCGGUCGCGCGCGGGCAUCGGGAUGUGCACCGCCGAGGGCUUCGCGUCGCCCAUCGCCAUCCUCGCCCUCGCCGAGCAGCUCUCCUCCAGCUACCUCUCCCUCUCUGGCUUGGCUUGUUUGUGUUUGGGAAUUUCUUGUUUCUUGCUGCGCCUCGCCCUCGAUGUUUGCUAGGCGGUCCAUGGUAUUGGACAUUUUUUUGGUCUAAACCAAUGACAUUUUCGUGAAUUCAUUUUUUUUCUUAAUAUUUUGAGCUGAGCUGUUUCAUGGUUUCACAAAAAAAGAUAAAUAAUUAGGUCCGUCGUGUAUAGGAGUAUAAAGACCGGUAUGGGCUACCAGCUUACGGGUCCAUGUGUCAAGAGAGAUUAUAGUCCAUUUUUUUGUUUGAUUAUAUAUUAUUUAAUAGAGUAAAAUACACCGGCGGUUCUUAAACUUGUCAGGAGGUUUCACUUAGGUCCACGAACUUGCAAAGCGCACAUCGAGAUAUCUAAACUUGGUUUAUUGUAUCAUCUAGGUCCAAAGCCGCGUAGACCGUGCUUUUGCCUACGUGGCACGCCACGUGCACGAUGACAUGAAAUUUUUUUAUUUUUUUCUCCCUUCUUCCUUCUUUUUUCUCUUUCUUCCUUCUUUUUUCUCGAUGGUGAGAGGCGGCACGAGGGGAUGGGCUGUCACGGUGGUGCUUGGCAAGGCGCCGGCUGACCGGCGCGGCGGAGGCGGGGAAGCCGACGUGAGGAGGCCAUGGCCGGGGUCGGAGGCGAGCUUGCGGCAGCGGCGAGCGCGCGGGGGCGGUGUUGAUGGGAGGAGGACAGCGGCGGCGAUGCCGAACCACCGCACACCAUGGGCGCCGCCACUGCCGCGGUUUCGCCGAGCCACCGUGCCGGAGGCGAGCGCGCGACGGGAGGGAGACAGCGGCGCUGACGGGAGGGAGGGGGACGGCGGUGACUCAGGGAGGAGGACGGCGGCGCUGACGGGAGGGAGGGGGACGACGGCGACUGGGGGAGGAGGACGACCGCGCCGACACACCGCUGUCGCGUUGGCCACGUCGUCGCGAGCCGGCCGCCUCGCAUGCGACCGCCCGCGCCACGGCCGCUGUCCCGAGCUCCCCCGUGCCGGCCUUUCCCUUCCAUCGCCGCCUCCCGUUUCCGCCCGAGCCGAGACGACGCCGCCGCCGAGCUUUCUUCUCCUCUCCACAGCCACCAGCUCCUCUCUCAUCGCCACCCCGAGCUCCCCCAUGCCGGCCUCUCCCUUCCAUUGCCGCCGCCCGUUUCCGCCCGAGCCAAGACGACGACGCCGUCGCGAGCUUUCCUCUCCUCUCCACAGCCGUCAGCUCCUCUCUCACCGCUGCCUCUCUCUUGCGCUGCCGCUAGGUCGCCGACCCCGGCCAUGGCCUCCUCGCGCCGGUCGGGCGCCGCCUCUCCCCACCUUCUUAGGAUCUCAACCGGAAAAAAAAGUAGGAAGAAAGAGAAAAAAAGAAGGAAGAAGGGAGAGAAAAAUAAAAAAAAUUCCAUGUCAUCGUCCACGUGGCGUGCGCGGCUUUGGACCGGGAUGAUACAAUAAACUAAAUUUAGGGACCUCGAUGUGCGCUUUGCAAGUUCAUGGACCUAAGUGAAACCUUCUAACAAGUUUAAGGACCGCUGGUGCAUUUUACUAUAUUUAAUACUAAAAGAAUUACAACUCUAAUCUUUUUCUUUCAUGUUUGGUUAUAUAUUAAACAAUAAUAUAAAUCACAAUAUUAUUUUAUGAAAAAAGAAAAGAAAAGAAAGAGUCAAUCCAUUCUAUGCCAUCGACAAAGCACGGCGCGGGUUCUACAAUAUGUCAUUGAUAAAGCUCAGUUCUACAAUAUAUCUUCGAACAACUCAUUUUUUUCCUUAUAUGCCAUCAGCAUUAGUAAAUUGUUAGUCAUACGCCAUUAAGGGAGGAAAAAUGUCAAUUUUACCCCCCUAGGAUAAAAUUGAGAUUUUGCACAAUGCCAUGUCUCAUUAAAUAAUCUUGGAUGAUAAAAAGACAAGUGAUUUUUAUUUUUCAUCAGUGAGAAGAAAUAGUGGGUUGUAACCAAUGAAAUCCAUGAGUGCGCAUGAUACCCUAGGGGCAAAAUGGAUGUUUUCUUCCUCUUAACGGAAUUUGACUAACUAUUCACUAGCGGUGAUGGCAUGUAAGGAAGAAAACUAUUUGUUCGAUGGUAUAUUAUAGAACUGAGCUUUGUCAGUGGUACAUUGUAAAAUCCAUGCCUUGUCAAUGGCAUAGAAUGAAUUAUCUAAAAAAAAGACUACCCAAUGCAGACUAAUGAGUCUUCGUAUUUAAUUUCACCAACGAGCGCAGUAACGUGUUAGAAACUUGAUUGGGCCGCACACGUGUUUGGGAUUGUGAUGUUUCUAAACAAGCCUAAGCAAGCACAAGGAGAGCAAUACAUCUAUAUAUUUGCAGCAGCAACAACAAGUUUAGGAGGCAUCGAAACAGAAGAGAAUAGGCAGCAAUAGCUUGGUUAAGGUAACUUGGCAAACGAUAGUGGCAUGCUAGUCCUAGCCAGGAACAUUCGUUAUCUCCUUUCCUACCUCUCCUCCCGCCUUCAAUCCUUUUCUUAGUUUGUAGGAGUAGAACCUUUUAGAGUUGUAUCUCCUUUCUUCUUAUUGCUCUUGAAUUUCACUUCAACCAUUCGAUUGUGCUUGUGAUUUGUAUUGAAAAAGGUUACUGAUAUUUAAGCUGAGAGAAGAUAUCCCAAACAAACUAGUAGAGAGACACCAAUCCCUACCGAGUUCGCCAAGCAAGCUACUAUGGCAAAGUGAGGAUAUGGAUUUACUUUUCAGGUGGAUGGAGUCCGAGCAGAGGCAAGUGGAGACAUAUCAAAGAAAGAGAGAUGUUCUAUUCUAUCUCAAGGCGGCAAUAGAAUCAUAGAUGCUAGAGUCCAGAAGAAGGCCAAAGACUUGAAAUUUUCAGUUGAGAAUGAGCAAUCCAAGGUGAUGCUCGCCAAAUGUCUGAUGAAUUGCUCUUGCUCUGAUGUUGAGCCCGAUGAAGUUGUUAGCUGCUGAGGACAUGAUCGGUACCACCUAUAUUGACAACCCUGAUCAGUCCAAGGUCACAUAUCAAGUGUUUGACAAUCGGCCUUGACGUCAAUGGUGGCACUGACUAAGUUGUCACUUUCUUCACCACAAACAAUAGAGACGCAUCAUUAGCAAUGAGUUAUUGAUAGUUAAGAUUGUAACAAUGGACCGAACAUGCCCAACGAAGAAAUGCCGGCGGGAAGGAAUCCAUAAUGACAAACUUUAUUGUCGAUGAUGGGAUUAGUUAAUGAAAAAGAUGAUCUCAACUAUCGCCAAUUCCUCAGUCCGUUCUUCUUUGGGCCAAAAGAAUACUCAAAUCUUUUUUUUAGAUAAAGGAUUAUCAAAUCCAGCCUCUACACCUUUGUGGGGUGUACAUAGCCAAAUAUUCGAACACGAGUACAUAAGUGGGGUUUGGAUGGGGCUAAAAAGUUUUAGCGCCCCUAUCACAUCGGAUGUUUGGACACUAAUUAGAAGUAUUAAACGUAGACUAAUGACAAAACCCAUUCCAUAUCCCUAGACUAAUUCGCGAGACGAAUCUAUUGAACCUAAUUAAUCCAUGAUUAGCCUAUGUGAUGCUGUAGUAAACAUGUGCUAAUUAUGGAUUAACUAGGCUUAAAAAUUUGUCUCACAGAUUAGCUCUCAUUUAUGCAACUAGUUUUGUAAGUAGUCUAUGUUUAAUACUCUAAAUUAGUGCCCAAACAUUCGAUGUGAUAGGGACUAAAGUUUAGUCCCUAGAUCCAAACACCCCCUAAGACUCUCCAUAAAAAAAGGUACAAACUACAGCAACUAACCUCUCCCAUUACAUGAGAGAUGAUAGCACAAAGGUUUUAAGAACAACAAAAGAAGAAAAAGACCAGGCUUCCAAUUUUGUUCCAAGGUUCCAGCCAUACACGGAGAAGAACUCCAACACACGCUUCUCUAGCAGUUUGCAAUAGCUCUUAAUUGUUUCUUCACCGACUCCCUUAAGAAGCAAAGACCAAGUCCUUGCCCAAUGCGUUCCCAUGAAAAUGACCAGCAAGAAAGAUGUAAGACUGGAGCCAUUAAAGACCACAUUGUUCCUAUAUAACCAAAUUGCCCAAAGAAAUGCAGCUAUGCCUACAAACAAUAUUCUCUUGAGCCUAGGUUCAACACAAUUCCAAUUCCUAAACAUUUGAGACAUGCUACACAGUUGCCUAAUCCCAAAAGAAUACUCAAAUCUUAUGUAGCCUGAUUUCCUUUUUUGAGAACUUGUAGCCUGAUUUUUGACGAUUCUCUCAUUCAACCCUACUUCACUCGUGUAGUCGUGUCCUUAGAUGAGCCGAAUUCGCUGAUGUGAAAGAGGUGGGUUGAGUUCAUGCAUGCACCGAAUUCAUUGGAGAGAAGUAGCAGUAUGCCGAAUUCUCUAAUAGGUUGAAUUAUUUGAUGGAAAAUUACUGGGACAAAUUCAGUGAUAGGCUGAAACCAUCAAUGAGAAGUGUGUGGACUGUAUUCAUUCCCUAUUUAUGUGCACUUUAGGUCUCUCAAUUUGUCGUCGAGUUUGAAAUCCAUCUCUAAACCACAAUAAACUCUAAAAACCAGUGCAAAUAAGGUCCUAGUUUGAAUGGUGGUUUCACUGAGAUGGCGCGCCUACGUGGUACUUAAAGUAAAAAAAAACCAUGGGACCAUGGGACCCAUAUGUCAGUGAUUGUCCAGUUAUUAGAAUAAAGAAAGUUGUAGUGGGACCCACGUUGCACGCGCCUCCUUCAACACCCCACCGGUGAGCCCAAUAAAUUGGAGAUCGGCAGUGACUCCUCCGCCGCGACCUCGUCCACGAUUUCUGCUAUAGUCUGCAUCGCGCCACAGCCCUGCAGCACCCCAGCUCCACACACGGACGUCCUCCGGCUCUAGCCAUUCUGGCCGCCCGCUGACGCCGACUCGCUCUCCAAGGUGGUGUUAAGCGGAGCACGGUGUCGACGUUCUGGACACGCUCAUCGGUGCUAUACAUCGAGCACGAUGGUCAGCAGGUCACCCGUGGAGGCCUAGUCGAGCACCGCUGUGAUGCAGUGCUCCAGGCCACGGCACGUCUUGGACAUAUUUUACUUUCAUUUAUACUUCAAGAAAGGCUGGAUAUGACUGGUUGGAAAAACACAUUGAACAACUCAACUAGUACAGUGAACAACACAUAAAGGGCAAUUAGGUUAAAGGGGUCUGAACACCAAGAUAUGCUUGAAUUAAGACAAGGUAAACUAUUACAAUUAAAUUUAAAGUGGGAAAAUGAAAAUUUAAUAUUUUUCUUUCAUGUUUGGUUUUAUAUUAAACAAUAAAUAGAAAUCACAAUCUUAUUUUAUAAAAAGAGAGAAAAUAAAAGGUUGGCCAAUGCAGAUUAAUGAGUCUGUUGGCAACUUUUUUGACAAGUCGACAAGCACGAUCGCAACACCUACACGCCUUGCGGUGAUAUGGAGUCGCCAACCACCUCGAUCUAGCCAAAUGGCCAAAUUAAGAUGGGUUUUGCAAAAAAAAAAGCUGAACCGGCUAGCGGAGCCGAUUUAGAGAUCAAAAUCAGCCUCUAGGCCGAUUUAAAUCGAUACGAGGAUAACUACCCGUCUCGUGGGCAAAACGGAAGGUUUUCAAGACAAACCUACAAAGAGGUGUCGCACUCUCGCAGCGGCGGCGGACAGUUUACGGCGCAAACCGACAAAGAUGGACUAAACUAGGGUAAAAUAGAAAACAUAGUAAAAGAACGAUUCAAGUAGAUUGUAUUCGGGGGUUUUACAAUGAACCGGCCUUGUCCCUUAUAUAGGGGUUGGUCUUGCCCUCUACAAGCCCUCCUCCACGUCCAACUCGGGAUAUAUAGAAACCAAUGGAAACACGAAACAUGCCUUCUCGAGCAACGAAACCCGAGACCCGACGAAAACAGAGUCGGACUCGGACCCUGACGGUCUGACCGCCCACAUACCUGCGGUCAGACCAGCCCUACUAGCCGGUCAGACCGCCCACAUACCUGCGGUCUGACCGGCCCUAGUGAAGGAAACCCGGCACUUUCUAAACUUUGCCAAUUUUUCCCUAUUUCGUCCAUAGGUGCCAAAUUUGGGUGUAAACACAUGCCCCCCUGCUUUUUUGGUGAACAUACGUGAACCUAAAAGCAUAGAACAUGUUAUCUCAGGGCGAUAAUCCAAUUACCGGCCAUAGGACUUCCUAAGCAUCUUGCCAAAUGCUCGGGAAGUAUUUCUUCAAGUAUUUCCCAUUAAUUGCUUUCUGAAAACACCGUCUUGAAGUGUUUUCAUCUCCUUCAAAGUAUUCAAACGCUUGUCAAUGACGUCUUCAAGAUUGCUUCCUAUCAAGAUCUUGUAAUCUUCAACCGACAAGUCAUCUUGCUUGAAAUACCGAAAAGAGCCAAGAUUUACCUCAACUGGCAAAACAGCAAUUUCAACAAUGUUUUAUUACUCGACUCGGCUUAUCCAUUAGCCUGAGCGUCGUAAAGAGAAGAACACAACAACUUAAUAUCAUAAGAUUCGGCAAAACCUCUCAUUUCCUUGGACAUAAAGAAGCCCCUUUAACGUUUAAGGAUACCGAAUCUAUGAACAAUAUGCUUCAAAAUAAAGUCAAUUACCUCCGUACAAGUAAUAUUCUCGAGCGGCACGGCUUCGGCCCACUUGGUGAAGUAGUCCAUUGCAACUAGCACGAACCAAUGCCCUUUUGAUGACGAAGAAUAAAUUUGACCAAUAAAAUCCAAAGCCCAACCUCGGAACGGCCAUGGUUUGAUGAUAGGAUUCAAUAUAGCGACAUGCGCCAAAUGAACAUUGCCAAUCCGUUGACAAGCUUCACUCCCUUUAUAACAUUUGAAACAAUCAUCAAUUAUUUUCGGCCAAUGAAACCCCACUCUCUUAAGCAACCAAUUUAUCUUACGGGCCGAUUGAUGAAUUCCACGAAUCCCCUCAUGUACUACUCUCCUAGCAACUUUAGAUUGAUCAUUAUCUAAGUAAUACUCCAUCUAUUUUUCGGCGAUAUAAUAUUUGAGCGCAUGCCGCCGAAUCUUCCGAUCAACCUUAAGUGUAGGAUCUUUCAAAUAUCUAAUCAAAGGAAUUCUCCAAGCUAUUUCUAACUCAUGGGCACAAAUGUCCGAAUAAUUAAUUCGGCCUUUUAAUCAAUUGUAACGUGCCCCCCAGCCUCCUGUCUGGGAUCGGUCAGACCGGCCACGCAAUGCCGGUCAGACCACCCUGUCUGUCCGGUCAGACCGGCCAUGCAGAGCUGGUCAGACCGCCGGUCAUCACCGGUCAGACCGGCCGUGCAAUGCCGGUCAGACCGCCCCUGGUCUGUGAUUUGGCCAAUUUCAUCCAAAGACUUAAAAAUCAAGCACCGGCUUUUCUAGUAAAAAAUACUCCUUUCUUCAUAUUAUAACCAGAUGCUUGGUGUAUCAAACUAUUGGACGAAAAUCCCUCCUCUCUAGACAUAUGAAAAAAUUAUAACAUCCAACUAACAUGUCUAGAUGAAUACUAAUUCAAAUGGCUUUUAAAACAAUAAUCAUCAUGGCAUCAAAACACUUAGCCAAUUGAAGUAUGAUCAAUAAUGAAUCACCAAAGUCAUAUGUGUCACAUGCAUAGAUUCCAAUAAACUACAAAUAUAAGUAAUCGACUUGAGCAUGUAUGUAAAAUAUUAACAAUGCCAAUGUUUCUAAAGAAAACAACUCUAGAAUAUAUUAUCACAUUGACUAUUGACAUUAGCCGAAUUACUAAUAAGCAAAACUUUCAUGGUGCAAUAAUUAUAAAAUCUAUAUCUUAUAUGGUGAUCCAUAAAAACACAUACAAUUUGGCUUUAAAUAAAUAUCAAAGACUCAUGAGCCAAAUCAUACUUCAAACACAUUAUAUGCCAAUCUACCAAUUCCACUACUUAGAACUGGCAUUUGCAAGAUGUAUGUAUAAUAUUAAUUCGAUAAGCAAAAACACACAUGUACUAGAUAGUAAGCAAUGUUCUAACAUGGCAUAGGCAUAUAACGGUAAACACAAUAAACUCAUACCUUGCCUUAGCAUCCAACAAACGGUGGCUCAAAGAUGUGAUGUUGUAUCCAUCGCCGUCCGUCUCUCUUGAUUUCUUCAUAAGCAUAUUGAUGUCUUGCCCCCCAAGCAAAAUCAGUUUUCUUGAUUGCACGAUUUCGAAGGCAAGAUGAAUACCGUACUAACUUCCAUAGCAUCAUGUGGAGGAGACUUAUCUCUAAUGACCGAUGAUUCUUCUCUCAUCAAAUUGGAUUUAUCACUUUUAUGGGAAAUCACCGGUCUCUCAACUUUUACCUCUUUGGAUCUCCACACUUGCUUAGGUGUCAUUUGAGGAUCUAAAUUGUUACAUGUUUUGUUCUCCACAUCUUCGGCCUCCUUUUCUUUUUGACCUAUGGCUCGAAGACGCUGUAGCCUCUUCUUUUGAGAGCGAGAUAAGCCAGAAGGUAUCCACUUCGGCUGUGGUUGUUUUCCAGGAGCUAAGCAAUGAUUCUUCAUAUUUUUGAUCGAAGUGGAAGCUCAUGUGUUGCUCUCAAUUUUCUCACUCUUCUCCAAUGCCCCUCGGUCAAACCGGCCUCUGGGCCCGGUCAGACCGGCCACAAGCCGUCGGUCAGACCGGCUAGGAUGGUCGGUUAGACCGGCCGUUGUCUGGCGUUUUGACCAGCCAGCUGUUUUGGUCAGGCCGCCGAUGUUGACAAUAACGGCGUCGGCUUCAGUUUUCUCCGCUUGUAUAGUUUUCGCCGCAUCUCCAGUAGGUACAUGAACAUCUUGAGAUUCUUCAUUGAUAGCAACGACCUUUAGAGCUUUGGCUUCUUUCCUCACCCACACCUUCUUCACUUUUUUCACCUUUGAUCCACCGGACCGAUUCUUUCAUGGGAAACGGUCUUGUCUUGAGUUAGAAUGACUUGGUACUGUCCUAGGUGAUUGCUUCCAUUCUUGAUGACACGGCAUAGGUGAUUGAGGCAUCCAUCGCAUAUAAUACAUAAAAGGAUAACCAUAUAGUGACAUUGGAUAUGGAUACCAUGGCAUCACAACCGGAGGUUUGUAUGGAGUUGGUAUGGUUGAUGGCUCCGAUUGCUUUGAUGUUUGACCAAAUCUCUUCCUACGAGAUGAUCUUGGUCUUUUCGAAUCACUAGUUUGGUUAUCAAAUCGUUGACCAGCUAAUCCUUUCUUGUAUUUAGCCAUAAGCAUCUCAAAAGUGAGCCUCGGCUUUUUGGUCUUUUGGGAAUUAGAUGACCCAUCCUUUACAACUUUAUGAUCUUUGGCCUUCGUAUUUUUUAUCCUAUUCUUGGGCCGAGCAUCCCCAAUAAUAACACGUUUCCCUUUCUUUUUGUCAACAUCAAUAGUACUAACAGGGAGAGGAUCACUAACAAUUUCGGUCUUAGGCAUAGAUGUAACCGAAAUAGUUUCACAAGUGACCGAUGAAGUAUCAAUCGGUCUUUGCUCCAUUAAGCUCGCAUCUUUAAAAUAAUCAUGAAACUCAUGCUCCAUUUGUGACCAUGUAGAAAUUGAACUAGGAGCAAACAAACUAUACCAUGUAGAUGCAAAGUUUGACAAAGAAAAGGGAAACAACUUCAACUUAAGCAAAUCAUCGCUACCGGCCUUACCACAUUGAUCAAUAAAGCGGCCGAUAUGCUCCAUUGUAGUCAUAGCAUUCUCACCUGUGAAUUUCGUGAAGUUGAGCACCUCAAAUCCUUGCGGGUAUGUGACCAAAUCUAUAUGUUCAGGAUACGGUCUUUGAUAUGUAUGUAUAGCUACUUUGGAUUCUAUCUCACCACUAUCCCGCAAGACAUUGUCAUCAUCUUUUCCAAUAUCCACAUGACCAAUUUUUGAUUCGGUCUUAGGUGACAAUGCUAUUUCAUUUUCGCUUGUAAUACAAUCCGAACCGUCAUUUAGUUCAGCUAUACUCUCAAUGGUGUCAUUGUCUAAACUAGCAACACAAUCCGAAUCAUCACUUGGUUCGGCUAUUCCAUCAUUGUCUAAACUAAUAACACAAUCCGAACCGUCGCUUGGUUCGGCCGUAAUGGUUAUUGCAUCAUUAUCCAAGCUAGCAAGACAAUCCGAACCAAUUUUUGGUUCGGCUAUACUUAUUAUGGCAUCACUGCACAAAUUAUUAGCACAAUCCGAACCAUCGCUUGGUUCGGCUAUACAUGAUAUUGCACUUUCAUCUAAACUAGCAUUUAAGCUAUUGUCAUCCACUCGGCUUUCCUGAGCCAGAGCUUCAUGCAACACAUGAUCAAUAUCAAGAAAUAUCUGGCCAUUCAAUUUUUCUUUAAUAGAAUCAAGCAAUCCAUCAUAUGCAAUGUCGGCCAAAUCUUUGUCAGUUAUUUUCAAAUUGAAACAUCAGUUUUUAACAUCUCUAAACCUUUCAAUAUAAUCAGCAACAGAUUCAUUGUAUUUGUGCCUAACCAAUGUUAAAUCAGACAACCUAAGCUCAGUUUUACCAGUGCAAAAAUGAUCAUGAAAUUUUUGUUCUAAUUGAGCCCAAGUAUAAAUAGAAUUUGCCGGUAAAGAAGUAAACCAUGUAAAAGCAGUACCGGACAAAGAUAAAGAAAACAAGCGCAAUUUAAAAGUAUCACUAUUAGCCUCACCACAUUGCGCUAAAAAUUGACCUAUAUGCUCCCAUGUGGUCCUACUAUCCUCAGCACUAAAUUUGGUAAAUUCGGGAACUCUAUAAUUACGAGGAAACGGCACAUUAUCAUAAUAGUCAGGAUACGACUUUUGGUAAACCUUAGCACGAUUCCUAGUUUCAAUACCGAAUUUAUCCCUAAUAAUCCCACUAAUUAUUUCCUCCAUAUUAUCAGGCCUAUGUUGAUUUGGUGGUGGAUUUGGUGUCCUAAUAGGUUGUGUUUGCGGCGCAAUAUGGUUAUAUUGGCCUUGUCUAGUAUCGGGAGGAUACCCCCUAGCAACAUCAUUAUAAGCAUUAGGAACAUGUGGGGAACUUGGGGACUAUUUACAGCAGUAGAUACAGGAGGAUCAAAUG